Molecule: long non-coding RNA, 82281 nt
Filed under: Ananas comosus (pineapple)
Lineage: Eukaryota; Viridiplantae; Streptophyta; Magnoliopsida; Poales; Bromeliaceae
Description: long non-coding RNA (ACOM_LNC008552)
Source: RNAcentral
AAAAAUAUUUAAAACACUGAUCUCUACCAACUUAAGAAUAAUAAUUAUUUUGUAUUAUUUAACAUGAUAUUAGAGCAGAAGACUCUGCUCCUAGCAUUAUAAAUUUUCUCUCAUUUAAUUCAAAUCCACAUUAUGAGCCUUGCGAAAAAAGUUUCAAAUCCAAACAUAAGGAAAAAUGUUAAAUACAAAAAUAUUUAAAACACCAUUCUCUACGGGCUUAAAUUUUUAGAGAUCAAUAACGGUUAUUGUGUAUUAUUUAACGAGCAGCACCUCUACAAAACCUCCACCAUGUCACUCAAACAAGACCGAAUGAGAAUUUAAAGAAGGGUUAUCUCAACAGCAUCAUUUAUUACUAACUUGAAAAAAUGGAUGAAAUUUUGAUUAAUUAAGGCUAUAAUUCUACAUCAAUCUUGUUUCUCGAAGGUUUUUCCAAUGUAAACUUAACAAGAUAAGAGAGCACAAGAAGAACAAGAAAUUAUACAUCAACACCAAGUACUACCAAAAGCUUUACUUAAUCUACCUCUUAUCGACGACGCUAAGGUAUUAAUAUCAAUAUUACUUACUUUCUUUGUAUUCCUUUCCCUGCCUCAUUGUGCGAUGUACAUUGAACACAUUACAAGCUCUCUCCAUCCCUCAAAUCAGUCACGCGGCCCUCCCACAGCAGAGAUUAUUCCAUCUCCUCUAAUACACUUAUCUGCAAGCAUAAAAUAUUUCAAGUCACUAACAUCCAAACCACCGAGAAAAUGCCGAUGGCUGCUGCGGUAAUGACUUUUUUCUUUCCUCCUUUUUUAUAAGUGAAGAUGGUUUAGUCACAAUAGCAAUGAUGGUGACAAAAGGCGGUGCACAGUUCUUCGUUCUCAAUUUAUUUUGUUUUUCUUUCCAUGUUUCAACUCAAAGUGAAAAAUAAUUAAUAAGCUAGCUCACCCCUUUGUGCUUCGUAUACUAUACCGUAGGCCGCCACAUUGUCUUUUGAACAAAUAGCAACCCCUCUUUGUCCUUCGAGUAGGUCAUGCGGACCUUCCACUGCAGAGAUUUCACCACACUCUCCACCUCAUUUAUUGUCUCGACAUUGUCUCGAAUGAUCAACUUGCCUUCUGGUCUCAAUAUCCGGUCCACCUCAACAAUCACAGGCAAUAAUUUGCACCUAGAGAGAACAAAAUCAAAUACACCUCAAGACCAUUAACAAGUGGGUCGGCACAUAAACAUCCUGUAGCAGAGUUUUUAAAUGGAAAAAGCAAAAAAAAAAAAAAACACAUGUAUGAUAGAAUGGAGAAAAAUCACUUAUGUACUGCUUCCGUGUAGCAUAACCCAGAGACUAAUCAAACAUUGUCACAUAGAUAAAGAAUUCAAUUAACAACCUUCGAAUAUCUUUUCUACUUGAAAUUAUUAAAAUACUGUUGACCCGAUUACACAAUUGGAUAUACCAGUAUUAAUUCACGGCAUCGUGAAACGUCCCACAUCAUAGGGCUCACAGAAGAGACUUUGUUUGAUAGAAGGUCUAAGGUAGUCCCACACUUAUCUCAUUAUCUCUAUAUCUAAGUGAAUAGAAACAGUUAAGAAAAGUGGUAUUGGAUUUAAGCAUUAAGAAUCUUACCUCCUUUUUAGAUUGGAGAAUAGAUGAUCUGCAUGGAGGAGAUCGUAAGUUCUUGGAUAUGUACUAAAUGACUCACACCAAUCGUGGUACAAUCCAAAAAGCCCGCGCUCAUAUAUGAUGGGAAGUGUAUCUGGUGAAUUGAUCGGCACAAUAUUCAUUACCCACACCUUCAUCUCCCUUAAAGCUGCGGCAAAACUGUAAAAAAAUAUUGCAAAAGUAAUUUUUGCAUUAAAUAGCAUGACAAGAAGAGUUGAUAGGUUUAUUAUUUAAAAAUGGGCAGGUAAGGCAGCUAAUAGGUUUUGAGACACUCGAGCAAUUGCAGAAAAGAAGAGAGAAUAUCUAACAAUUCUGCAAAUUAUCACAAUAACCUGUUCACCAAAAGCUUCUAAAUAUUGGGAUAAGAGUGCACAAUAGCCAACACGAAAAAAGGGAAAACAGAAUAAAAUAGGCUACAUAAAUGAUAACUAUUUAGAAGAGAAUUUACGUAAGAUAUUAAGUUUGUACAGGGAUCCAUCUAUAAAUAAUCCAUAUAAUAAACUAGUUCAAUGUGACGAGAAAUGAGAUAUGCAUACCCCCCAUAUACAGUUUUCAUGUCCAUAACAUUCCUGAUGGUACUCCAAUCGAUUCCCAUGCCAUUAAUGUAUGAAUUGCGCACAACUCGCUUCCAAUGUUCGUAGUCUGCUAUGAAGUCUUCAGGGGCAGGCUUUCCAUACACUCCGAUUUGAGAACUACUCAUCCAGUAAGGUGUCUUCUCCAGCCUUUGUGGCCACUGCUCCGGCCAUUGUGUACCACGAAUUGCUGGAUCUGUUGGCAAUUUGUGUAUACAAGCUUGCAAGGGUAUAUUCCUGCAUGAUAAGAAAUAGCCACCGCCAACUAUGGCAAAUGAGAAUGCCGGAGAAGGCAACAAUGAUAUAUGCUUAUCAGCCUUGCUUCUAACGGUCUAGCUUGUAAAACAAUUUUUCUACAAAGAGAGCAACAGCCAGAAAUUUGGCGAACAAAAGGAUUAGAGUUCCAGGUCCCUGAAAGCAAAAGCUCAAAUCUGAGGCUUCUACUUCGGUGGGUGUCGCAUAGAUUACUUCCAUGCAAAAUCACAAAUACCCUGAAAGAAAUGUUGGUAUUGAUCGUGUGCCGCUGAAAACCUUGCUUAUUAGCACAUGCAACACUACAGGGAUAUCUAUGCACUACCAGCUUUCGCAUACAUCCCCCGGGCAAGGGCAUAAUGCAAAUAUUAUUUCUGAGGGGGGAUGGAUGCAAAUACCAACUGUCUGGAGGUUUUUAUGCAAUCUCACACAUUUGCAGAGGUUCACAUGCAAAGAAAACCGCUCUGCUUUUGAAUUUGUGGGAUGCUAUUAGGGGAUUUUAGUGGUUUUCCGAACAACUCUAUUUAAAAGCAAUCCUGCACAAUCUCCAGCAGGGCGAAAUAUGCCCUAAAUGAUAGAUGUACAUACCAGGCUGCAUCUGGAUCAUCAGAGUCUUGGCAGAGCGGUGGGUUCUGGAUUACUCUUUUCUCAUAGCAUUUGUUGUCGGUUGGUUUCCUGAAAAUUGCUAGACCAACUCUGUUUACUUUGUCCUUUGUUUUGUUCACCAUUUUCCAGCACAUUGACUUUGUUAGCGCAAACAUUGCUGCAAAUGUCCAAGGAAAUAUAAAUUAGAUCUAGGAAAACGAAAGUUUAUUCAGAUGCCAACUCAUUCUCUCUCUCUCAGAAGGCUUCGAUCAUUGUACUAGAGAAGUUCAAGAUGUCAGAGGUUUAUAAGAAAGAAAAACUUAAAUAACUAGAAAAUAGAGCAGAGCAGCUCAACAUGUUUGGUUCCAAAUAAUUCUUUAUUUAUUUCUCCCUAUCUCAAUCAGAAUAACUUGUAAGAACAGAACUAUACCAUUCCAGAUCUCAACAUCUUCUGGAAGCUUCUGGUAUACAGGAGUAGCAGACCACACAAAGUAACCACCAGGACGUAGCAACCGGUUCAACUCCAACAAAAGCAUACCACCUGCAAAUUACCACUAAUAAGGUCUAGGAGCAACUCCACAAAGCAAAAGAUGUCCAUAUACACCACUGGAAUACCAAUGCAAAAACUGAUUUUUAUAGUACCACUUGAUAACGUAAUUCUUACAAAAGCACUUUUAUCUAGAAUUAAAAAGUUAAUACAAUAUAUUAGAGCACGUUGGGUUUUGUAUUAGAAAAAUUAAAGAGUUAAUGCAAUUUAUUGGAGCAAGUUCGUUUUUGUAUUAUAAAAAGCUUUGUAGCUAAGUACGAGAGAUUAUAAGUAAAAAAAUAAAGUUUUUGAAGGUCACAUAUGAAAAAUCAGAUUUUGCAGGAACAUAUACAUACGCUAAUAGAUAGUGAUGAACAUGUAUGUAGGUAAAUAUCUCAACAAGGAGAAAUUAAAGUCGGUUGUAGAGCACCUUCAAUAUGCCAUGGGACUCUACAGCGAGCACAAUGAAUAACAUCAAAGACCUUGCUGGGGAAGGGAAGCCUCUUGGUGCCCAUGACAGCAGAAAUAGCUGGAAUUCCUCUCUCUAGGGCAAACUGUACUUGGGCCUCAUGCUCAUCUUUAGGUGCGAAUGACAUAGUAAGCACAUCUCUCUCAAAGAGAUAGCCUCCAAAACUAGCAACUCCACAGCCAACGUCCAGAGCUAGACGACUUCUCUUUCCCCACGCUAUAUCAGUCUGUGACUGCAGUUCAAAGAGCAGAGAGCACAUGUCAAUGAACAUAACAUACACUUAUUGACUAUAGAGGUUUCUUUUUUGUUGCUAAAAAUGUAUAUCCCUGCAAAAUUAUCAAAUUACACAUACAUCUCCCUACAAAAACUAAAUUUUCACAAAUGACCUAGUCAAAACAUUUUUCUCUUACCUAUAUACCCUUGUAAUCGCAAUAAUUGUCUUUUACUUAGAAAAGCUUUUCUCCAAUGGAAAGCCAACUUCCGGAAUGAAUAUGAAGACUCCCAAACUUAAGGGUAUUUUGUGGAAAACAACAAAAUUCAGAUUUUGCAGGGGUAUAUAUGUAAAUAGCUAAUUUUUCCAAGGAUGUAUAUGUAAAGGCCCCUUUUGUGACAAGCAGGGUAGCUUAUCCUUCCCUAUCUUCACUGCAUGUGGCAAAAUGCAUUCAGAUUUCAGAAGAUACAAAACACACUUAACCUAUGAAGGUUUGUAAGUCACAGAACAUGUAAUAUUCAUAGCUCAGUAUGGAUAUAGCAUUAUAGGCCCUUGCAAACUGAAACUAGAACAACAGGAAACAACGAAAAUAGCGACCAUUUAAAAGUACAAGCAGAUAGAUGUUAAGUUGUAAAGAAGCUCUUCUUCUUCAACAAAACAAAAAAAGAAAAAGAAAUUAUGAAGCAGUUGAAUUAGCAGGAAGAUCUACAAUUUGUUAUAUACAAUUAUCAAAAUCUGCAUACACAACAUAUUCACAAACUUUUAAUAUGUGAUAAUAACAGUAGAAGGGGAAAAGAGGGGGUGCAAACCUCCUGAAUGACAUCUAUGUAGUGUAAAGCACCAUGCUUGAAUUGGGUCCCGCCUCCAGGAAAAGUGAGGUAUUCCCCAGAAAUCUUGAGCCAGUUUUGGUGCCCCUUGUAAUCUACAAGCUUGGUAUGAGGGACAUUGGAGUACCAUAUCUGAGAUAGAACCAUAUAGUUUAGAUACAAAACUAGUGCUUGUUUGGCCUGGCUUUUGAAACAGCUUGUCUAUUCUAGAAAGCAACAAUAGAACCAUAAAAUCACAAUUCAGAAUUAGUUUGGCCUAACUUCUGAGACAGCUUGUAUACUCUACAAAGUAAAAGCUUCCAGAAACAAGAAAUUCAGGCAACACACAGCCUGAAGCUUGUGGUGUGGUGAGAAGAUAAAAUGAAUUUUGGUACCCAAAAUAAAAAGCUCUCAUUUGAAGCUUCUACUCUUACAGAGCAAAACACUUUAGAGGAGACUUUAGUAAGACGGGGGAGGGAAUUCUAUUAGCACUUCUUUGAAGAUAUCUGAUCAAACAGGCCUUUAGGCUUCAGGCUUAAGAAUACAAAAUAGAAGUCAAUUAAGACAAUACAAGAAGCAAAAGAUGGACCUUGUCUCUACUCUUUGGCCACUUUAUAGGCCGCUUAUAUCCCUCUGGAAGAGGUACGAGGCAGGUUGGAGACUCUUCAGGGCAAUGCCUCUCACGAUGUUCGUAAUGUUUAGUACUUCGAAGCUUCUUGAUAGCUUUCUCAUUGUCAAGACACGGUAUAUAGUCCGUCCCAGCUGUGACAUUACAUAGUUUCCAACUAUAAAUUAUUUGGCUUUCUGGCGAUGAAGAUGCCUGCAAUUCUUUCUCCUUCUCUGAUUCUGCAUCUUGAGUAGACCAUGACCCUUUCUGUGUACUGGUCAUGUUCAAAAGUUCCAAUUGGGCCCCAUCAGGAAGGAUAUCCUUCGGUUUCAAGCCCUUCAUGUCUUCAAUCUCUUCUACUUUCUUUUUUUUGGAAUUCUCUCCUAUAGUAUCAGUAUCUCUCCUCUCCUUAUUUGUUUCGCCUCCUUCAUUAGUCUGCUUUAGAUCACCGAAAUCUGGAGUUUUGUUUUCCAGUUCUGUCAAAACUUCCUCAUUCUCUUUCAGAGGCUCCUCAUGGGUCUUCUCUCCCAACUUCUCACCAGUCUUCUCUAGCUUUUCUUCAUCCAUUGAAGUCUCUCUGUUUGGUUCAUCAACAAUAGUGUUUCCAUUGUUAUCCCCCAAAUUGUCCCCAGAAGGCUGCGAAUCAACCCCAGGGACUUGAUCUUUAGUCUCAGAUUUAGCGUCUUGUAAAGAAAUCUCCUCUGGAACCACUAUUGUGGACGAAAACAUCCAUAUACCAACCAAACAAAGAGCAACAAAUAUAACGAUGGUUGGUGUCGAGCAGUAUGAAGGCGACGUCCUCCUAAUGUCAAUGCGCGUUACACUCUUACCAGAAGCCAUAUUCUUACAUCUAGAAGCCCCCAAAAUAGCUUAUCUAGAAAGACAAACAAAAGGAGGCAUUGAUCAAAUUCCGGUAGCUUUCCCAGCAAAAAGGAUAGUCUCAUAUAUCAGACGUACAUAAAGGUUUUCUUUGAUCUUUACUGCAGGUUAAUAUAUCUGCUUAGUAUUGUGCUAUAGACUCUAAGUUGAAUGCCCCUUUGAAACCAUACGGCUGCAAUUUUUCAUAAGAGAACUCUUUUACAAGAUCCCAAUAGAUAAAACAAUUGAGAUAGGAAAUUAAUCAGUAUAAAUUUAAAAAUUUCCUACUCAAAUAACUCCAACGUUCAUGAAGAAUUGAGCUAGAGCACUUCUAGACGUAACGUGAGCUUAGUACUUCCACUUCAUUUUCGAUUAUGGGGCAGUCAAACUGUCAAAGCAACAAUCAACACAACUAAACAUGAUGUAGGGCAUUUGAUUUUGAACAUUGUGGGAACCAAAUUUUGCAAUUUUUCAACAUCAUUUACUCAAGUGGUCUCAGAAUUGACAGUUUAACGGCUAUGAGAAGUUUUGUUAUUUAACGGCAUAGAAUACUCCAAAUAGGUUGAAUUUUUGACAAAUUUCUUUUAACUAUCUAAAUAAAGAACAAAAACACUGGUUGAAUUGAAGAAACCUAUCAACUAUCUCUGUGUUUGUUUUACAUCGCUCAUCUUUUGUCUACUUGAUGCAUCACACAAUAAUUGUCAAAAAAAAAAAAAAUGAAAUUUAGCUCGUAGAAAGUUCAAAUACAAUAACUGUUUAAUAGUAUCAAUCAUCAAUAUAGAUGCCUUAUCAUCGAAAGUGAAGUGGAAGUGUCAAGCCCUCGGUACUUCUGGAAGUAUUCUAGCUCAACUCCCAUUAUGAAUCUAACAAUUCUCUACUCAAAUAACUCCAAAAAAGCAUUUAGAUACCCGCAGUAACUAUCAAAGGAAAAAUACUACCACUAGUUAAUUAUCAGUAACAAUCGAAACACGCAAAGGCCACAUAAAUGAUCCAAUACUCUUCAUUAUAGUAGUAAAUGAUCAGGAACAAACUCUCAUUAAACCUCAGCAUCGAAAUGCGUAAACAAGAAGGGAAAUUAACGAAUAUUCCAGCUAUAUUUAUAACAACAAUUCAAACUUAAUUAACAAAAAUAAACAUAAAAACAUUAUCGAUGCUUCUUAGACUUAAAAUGGUGAAUUAGAGUUAAAUCUACACCAUCUAAGCUGAUUCCCCUUCCACUCUAGCAGAUCCAAAACUAAACUAAUCCAUGACGAAGCUGAAUCCAAAUUUUACUCAUAUCUCACUCAGAAACAACUAUAGAAAGCUCGGAUCUACCCAAAAAUCCCCCAAAAAGGCCCAAAAAUCGCUGGAAAAGGAAGCAUCAGCUACCAAAUCGGUGGAUCCUUACCUCAUCUAGCGGGAAACAGCUUCUGAUCUCGUAGAUGAGGGGUUUUCCCGUUCCCCCGCUUCGCAGGGCUUCGACGAGAUGAAUCGGGGGGGAAUCGAUUGCAGCGUACGAACUUUUGAGAGGGAGAAAAGGGGUCGAGCAGGUACGAACACUUUACCAUCUUUUGUCCUUUUUUGAAAUAUAAAUAUAAAAUAUGAUUCGAAAACUAGUGAUUUAAAUAUUAAGUAAAAUUGUACAGAAACCCCCUCAUCUGUUAUUUGAGUUGAGAAAACCCCUCAACUUUAUUUGUCUGGAUUAUCACAUAUUUUAAAGGGUUAAUUUCAUUUGUAGUUUCUCUCUCAAAAAAAAAAAAAUUUUAUUUGUAACCCCACAAAUAGGGAUGUCAACGAGCCGGAUACGAGAAUUUUUAAAUAUCCGAACCCGAAUCCGGCUACCAAAUCUAAAAUUUUAAACCCGAAUUUAAAUUCGGCGGAUUUUAAAAAUUCAUAUCCAAAUUCGAACCCGACCAAAAAUACGAAACCGAACCCGCAAAUCCGAACCAGAAUCAAUUAUUUCUCUUUACAAUAUUUAAAAAUAUAUUAUAUUUCAAUAUAAAUUUUUAAAAUAUAAAUUCAAAUAUAAUAUCAAAUAUAUAUAGAGAGAGAGAGAGAGAAAAAACUAGACUAGAAUACUAUUUAUAUCACCAAGUCAUUAGUACUAUUAAGUUUUCGGUUCUUGAAUAAAACGAUGUACGAUUAGAAUAAUAGUGAUCCCUUAGGAUUGAGUGAGUAGUUGGUUUAAUAGUUUGAUCUAGCGAAUGAAAAUAAUCAAAGAGAUAGAUCAAACAGUAUAAAAUUUGAUAGUACCAAGUACUUGGUGUUAUCAAUAACAUUAUAGCCGAACUAUAAAUAUAUAUAUAUAUAUAUAGAGAGAGAGAGAGAGAGAGAGAGAGAGAGAGUUGAGCUAGAAUACUAUCAAUAGGAAACGAGCUUCGUUGCCACCCAUUUGUUUUCGAUGAUAGAGCUUCCAAAUUAACGUUCGGCACUGUUGAACAUGAUUUAUACCACUUGAAGUGCUUAGAAAGCAAAUUUCAAAUCUUUUCGACAUUAUUUGCCUAAUGAUCAAAGGGUUUCAAAAUAUGUAAUUUUAAUGGUCGGUAUGAGAAGUUUGCUCAUUUAACGACGUAAAAAUAUCGAAAUCAAUUAAAUUUUUGUUAAAUUUUUUUUAAAACUAUUUACAAUAAGAUCUAUACUCUUGAUCUUCAUUACAAAACUCCUAUCGUCAUUUUUUGAAAAAUAUUAAUUUUCAGUUGUUCAUUUUUGUGUCUACUUGAUGGAUAAGAAAAUAAUAUUGGAAAUAUAUGAAAUUUGAUUUCUAAACACUUCAAAUAGUAUAGAUUUUGUUCAACGGUGCCGAUCGUCGACUUGGAGGCUCCAUCAUCGAAACAAAUGGGUGGCAACGGAGCCCGUUUGCUGCUAAUAGGAUUCCAGUCAACUCUCUCUCUCUCUCUCUCUAUAUAUAUAGAGAGACUCUCUCUCUCUCUCUAUAUAUAGAGAAAGCGAGAGAAAGAGAAAGCUAGGCUGGUAUACUAUCCGUAGCACGCAGGCCUCUAUACUAUCAAGUUGUUUUUUAAUGAUGCGACUUCCAAAUCGACGAUCGGCUUCGUUAAACUUAAACUACACUAUUAAAAGUAUUUGAAAACUAAAUUUCAUAAUUUUUCGACAUCAUUUGGCUAGUGAUUAAAAUGUCUCAAAAUUGACAAUUUUAAUAGUCGAUGUGAUGCGUUUGUAAAUUUAACGGUGUAAAAUAAUCCAAAUCUGAUAAAAUUUUUAUAUAAAAUUCUUUUCACUAUUUAGAGUACGAUCAGUAACUACGAUCAGUAACUCUGAUCAUAAAGUAAACUAUGUCGAAAAAAUAUAAAAUUUUAUUUCUAAAAACUUUAAAUACUCUAGAUCGGUUUUAACGGUGUGGAUAGUUAAUUUGAACACCCUAAGAUCGAAAACGAGACUAUAGUACCGGAGCCCCGGUACUAUAGAUAGUCUUGAAUACAAGACUCCUACCAUCAUUUUUUAAAGAAUAUUUAUUUUCAGUCGUUCAUUUUUUCGUUCAAUUGAUGGAUAAGAGAACAAUAUCGAAAACGUAUGAAAUUUAAUUUCUAAACACUUCAAGUGGUAUAGAUCAUGUUCAACGGUGCCGAUCGUCGAUUUAAAGGCUCCAUCAUCGAAAACAAAUGGGUGGCAACGGAGCCCGUUUGCUACCGAUAGUAUUCUAGCUCAACUAUAUAUAUAUAUAUAUAUAUCGUAGGACUUGUACUAUUAGGAGCAUAGCAGCCAUUGUGCUCCAAAGUUCUUAACCAUUCAUCAAUUUUGAUAGGUGCACCUAGUUUUUUUUUCCAAUUUCUCCUCUCUCUCACCCUAAUCAUCCAUCAAAAUUGGUGGAUGGUGAAAAACUUAGAAGCACAAUGACUGCCAUACUUUUAAUAACACAGUAGUCCCACUCUCUCUUUCUCUUUCUCUCUUACUCGCUCACUCCCUCUCUCUCUCUCUCUAUAUAGGAGCAAUUAGGCUACUAUACUAUUAAUAACACCAAGACAUUAAUGCUAUUAUAUUUUCGGUUCUUGGAUGAAAAAAAAUGCGAUUAGAAUGAUAAUAAUUCCCUAAGAUUGUACUAUUAGGUGACUAGUUGAAUAGUACGAUCUAAUCGAUAGAAAUGAUCAAAGGUAGCACUAAACACUUCGUGCUAUCAAUAGUACAGUAACCAGACUCUCUCUAUCUAUAAACUCAUAUUAAUCCCCUAAUUUUGUCCAUGUGGCAUGCUUUCCUUAACCAUUGGCUGUGAGGCCCACCUUCUUUAUUACUCAUCUCCUUUUCUUAAACCUACUUUUUUUUAGAGAUAGUUUUUCCUUCCGUCUCUUCGGUAGAAAACAACUUUAUACUGUCUAUUUGGUUUUCGUGCUCCCCUCCUAAAGAUCAUUUUCCUUCUCUCUCUUUAGUAGAAGAGAACUUUAUUCCGUUUAUUAGAUUUAUGUGCUCCGCUCCUAAACUCCUCAAAAUCAACUUGAAAUCUCACUUCUCUUUUACCAAAAACCUUUUACAAGCUGUCUCCCCUUCCCUCACCCCACUUCCCUCAGUGCGGUUGUUGGUGCGACCGAAAUCGAGACAUGGAACGUGACAAGGACCGCAAUCAAGAUUGAGAGCACGAGAGAGCACCACAUGUGCCCCAGUGCUUCGCAAUCCCGAACCCUAGCUACCUGAUGGCCCCAAACCCUAGCAUCGAGCCUCUAGGAUGGCUCCAAACCGAGUGGUAUCGAAGUUGCAGCUAUGCACUCGAUGGGGAUUCAUGCAAUUGCGCCCGAGCAAUCGCCGGUGCACUAUGGGCAAGUUCCAAAUGGGUAUAUAGUAGUUCCUCCUCGGCAAGGGUUGAUCCCUCCCUUGUGGGUAUUUUUGAACUACUAUUUGCUCUUUAUGAUAAAUUUUAUUCUUUGGUCUUUUUUUUGCUAGAUUAUUAUCUAUGAUGAUUUGGCUUUGAUUUGUGAAUGAUAAAAGUAAGAGUUUUACAUUCAUAUUAAAUUUUAUUAAUUAAAUUAAUGAGUGGCGGUAUAUUAUGUUAAGUGUUUUGUUGUUAAUAGAGAUAAGCGCAUAGGAGAUGAGCCGCAAUAUAUAAUGUUAAGUGUUCUGAUAAGUUCUGUAUUGUCAUGCAAUGUUUUGAGAUACGCAUACGUUGAUUAUGAAAAUUGAGGGGAUGGGGUGAUGAGUGAAAAGAAGUUUUUGGCACCACAAAAAAAAAGAAGCUGUUGUUUGGAAAGGGAUUCUCUUGAUAUCGACAAUUGAUAUUUUUUACUAUAGUUUUGCAUUGUUGUUAUUAGUGAGAAACAUCAGCAAUCGCAAUUCUUGCGGUUGUUAAAGAUCACUUUCCCUCUAUGUUGGUAUGCGUAAAUUUAUCUAACUACAUUUCGUUUACACAAAUGACCAUCACCAUGCGGCUUCGGCUGAGCUUGCAGACGACAUUCCCAAGAACCAUCGGACCAAUAUCAGACAUCAUUGAAAAAAUUACAUAUUCAAAUUGCCCUUGCAUAUAAAUAGAAUCUUAUAAAGCUUCAAAACUUCUUGGGGUGCUCCUACUAAUGUUGCUAUUGUCGUAACUCGGCUCGGCGGUUCAUCGGCGUUUGUUGAGAAGGUAAUGCCUUUUUUUAUUAGUUAUACUAUUUCAUCCUUAUCGCGUGUAAAUUUAAAAUUUAUUUGAGUUUUAUAAUGAAUUUAAUUUAAGGCCGGCUUCUUUAUUUGGUGUUUGCAGGAGAUUGAAGUAAAUUUGAUAAUUACUGAUUAUUGUAUGCCGGGAAUGACCAUGUAUGAUCUUCUAAACAGACUCAAGGUACUCUUUUUUUAAUGCUUAAUUUGUAACAACACUUAUAAUUACUUUAAUUUUCUGUUUCCAAGUUUUUUGUUCCAAUUUAUUGAUGAAAAAUUUGUGAUAUUGUUAAUUCACAAAUCAUUUUUUUUGAAAGAUAUUCUAGAUAUGAUCAUAUCUUUAUAUGAAUGAGCCUUCUAAGAUAAUAAACUAUAAUAAUAUUUAUCCGUCGUAUCGCGCGGAUCUCUAAAUUAGUAUAUAUUUAUAAUCAAUCAUUCUCUAACCAUUUAAUGGUAAAAUAGCCACACCAAAGAAGUAUAGAUUAAAAUUUACUCUUUUUUAAGGUUCAUACUAUGUAUCUUACAGCAUAUACUGAUUUUUGUUUACAUCACAACAACAACAACAUGUGAUCAUCUACGCAACCACAGUAUGUGAUCUUGAAUUAAAGCUUUCAUUACUUUACUACACUAACAAAAAUAUUAUAUUUCCUUCAAGAAUGAUGGGCAUAAUUGUAAUUUCCCUCCACAAUCAACCAAUACACUUAUGUGAUAUGUACACAAGCAUAUCAACACCCACCCACCCCCACCGGCAAAUCCGAGCCCCACGAUCUCAUCUCGCCGGCCGCCGCAGCCGCACGAUCUAUAUCAAACGGCCCCAAAUGCCCCGACUCGAUUAAGUUAUAAUCGGAGUCGAACCGAAUUUAGCUCAAUUUAGACUCUUUUUUUUCCAUCUGCAUCCGGCCCGAUUUGUUCAAAAGGGUUUGGUCCAGUACAUGAGAAUGUCCUGCGGAAAUGGGUCCCUGAACCCGGGCGAAGCCAGACCGGACGGUUCGAAGUGGGGCAGAACUGGUCCGGGCUGAACCGGCUCCUCGAACACCCUCUCCCACUCCUUCCACCGCGGCUGGCUCUCUACCUCUCUCUCGCACGCGAACUCGGGCGAGGCCGAGUUCACGUGCUCGGAGCAGCUCGAGUCCGUGUGCAACCGGGGGAUCGAAUCAGACGGAGGAUCAAAAUAAGCCAUCUCGGUAAACGGUUGCAUAUGCGAGUGCGCGGGUAAUAGAACCGGUUUUUGUUCGGGGGGUGACAAACACGGCCUAAUCAUGCUCCCCGAACCAGAUGGUUUCCGGUCCGAACCAGUCGGCUUGUCGAGAGCACCUUUUUUGUUGUAGAUUCGGCACAGAACCCAAUCAUCUAGCUGCAUCAAGAAACAAAAAGCAAAAGUUAGAUAAAUAAUUGAAUUAUGACCUAUAAAUUCAAUGUGAUGUCAUUCAUAUAUCUGGAUUGUAGUGGAAAAGAAGCUAUGGAGAAUCAAAUGCUUUCACACCUAAAAAACAACUCGGCCAUGACAUCAGUCACAUCAUAUAGCAAGUUGCCAAUAGGCCAUGGCCCACAUAAAUAAUUCGGCCCACUAAGAUUGAUAGCGACGCGUAACCGACCAAUAAUAAUUCGACAAGUGGUCGCCGUAACAUCACGCGGCCCCUUUGGGCCGGGCCCAUAACAUGCAUUUAAUCAUGUGGGGCUCCGCAAUCCACUUGUCGUCGCGUGGCCCCACUUUUGAUCGGUUCAGUUCGAAUUAAUUCGAUUCGGUUCGGUUCAGCUGCUUACCCUGAGGCUGUUCUUCUUGCGGGCCGACCGGUCCACGUCAGCGAGCCGGUACUCGUGCAUGAUCCAAUUCGUUUUCUCGCCCUUGGGCGCCUUCCCGGUGUAAAAAACCAGGGCCUUCUUAAUGCCGACCGGUUUAGGCGAGCCGAUCGGUUUGUCCGCGCCCGUCGCUUUCCAGUAACCAGACCCGGCCGCCCGGUUCGGCCUCGACCCGUUCGGGUACUUUCGGUCCCUCGGCGAAAAGAAGUACCAUUCCUUCUCUCCGUACAUCGCCAUACCUGUAAUCACCAAAAUAAUAUAUUUAUAUAUUAUUUUAAAUAUACUCAACGUAUAUCAUCACGAGCACGAAUUUUAAAGCACGGGUGGUUCCUAAAUUCAUAAGCUAGACCAAGCCGGUCCUAUUUUGAUCCAGAUCAUCUUUUUUUUUUUUUUUUUUGAGAGAAAGAUAGUAUGUUACCCGCUUUAUUUAUUUUGUUUAGAAAUAAAUGAAAUAUGAAUCAACUAGAAUUCGAACUUGUGAUCUCGGGUAUCAACCACCAAGCCCUUUGCCACUUGCACUAGGGACGAUCGGUAGAUCGUCUGAUUUCGAUCAAGAACUGCUAAGAACAAAUCGAAUAAGGAGCAACAGUGUACCAGGGAGGUGCCACGGGUCGUACUUAUACAAGUCGACCUCGGCGAUGAUCGGGACGGCGAUCGGCAUCGCGGCGCACCUCCUGCAGAGGUAGUGCGUCACGAGCUCCUCAUCCGUCGGAUGGAACCGGAACCCCGGCGGCAGCUGAAGAUCGUGACCGCUCAUUUUUUUUUUUUCCUCUCGUCGAUCGAUCCCCACCGUCCGAUCGACAAUUCCUAAUCUCUAAGCUCCUUUUUUUUCUUUUUCUUUUUUCUUUUUAAUAUCUCCUCUACCUCCUCCUUUUGGAUUGGAGCUUAUUAUUAUUAGAGAGCUUGAAACUUGGGACCGGAGAGGAGCGCGUAAUUUAUAGAGGGGAGUGGGAAGGGGGAGAGCGAAGGGGAUGGCGACACGUGCGGCCUCGGGAGGCGGGGAGCUUCCAGAAGCGAAACGUGGGAACGAACCGCGCACACACGAGGGGGUAAUUCGGCGCGUGUUGACCGUUGACCCGCCCACGUGGCGCGCAUCGAGCGGCGACUGCGGCGCGGGAUUCUGUCACUGCUUACGUCUCGGUUUUUGGACCGACGCGCACGUCGGCAGCACACGUGGCGCUCGAUUAGCGGCGGCCGAUACAGAAGUCUUUCGUGGACCGGGGCCUCUAUCUAAUCUAUGAACUAUGCACAUUGUUGAUACCGGUUCGUUUCGCCCGCACUGUAUGGUAUGUGUCCUUGUUCAAUAAAAUAACCCAUUUGGCGUUGAUAAAUAUCUUGUACUUCGUAGAAUUUAUUCUUAAUCAAGUAAAAAUAAAUUGUACGGCGUGUUAUUCUCUAUAUAAACACGUAAAAUAUAUUUUUUAUUAUAGACAACGCACGAUUCUCAUCNGCAUACCAGCCUACUCUCUCUCUCUCUCUCUCUCUCUCUCUCUCUCUCUCUAUAUAUAUAUAUAUAUAUAUAUAUAUAUAUAUAUAUAUAUAUAUAUAUAUCCCCCAAAAAAAAAAAGGAAACUUGACUUUAAAUAUAAAAAAAUAAAAAUUUAAUCAUUACUAAACAUUUCAAAAUUCCAAAGUCCUCCGAAGCUUUGAAUUUCCAAUAUACCACCGGUCUAUAGACCGCGGUCCACGCAACGAGUUUCGCCGGUUCGUGGGCCCACGCAACGAGUUAUAUCUCGAGAAAGCAGGGUCCUUUCGGUGGGCCCCGCGGAUCACGACGGCGGGCCGCUCACGAGUCGACACGUAGCACGCGCGGGAGCUUCGAGGAAAGUAGCCUUGGCCUUUUCUAUUUUUAACUUUGAAUUUCGCGCCGGAUAAAGAGGUGGAUAAGGAUGAGCGAGGAUAAGGAAUCCCGAAUAAACCCAUUCCUUCGUUUUAAAUGGUUGAUUUUAAAAUGGUUGAUUUUUUCUUUUUGUUAAAAAAAAAAAAUUUUGUAUUUUAUAUAUUUUUUUAUUUUCCUCACGUGGGAUAGAAAUGAGUAGAAUAAUGGAAUAAGGAAAAGUUAUUCACGCACCUGGUGCACCGUGGAAAAUUCAAUAUAUAUCUAUUAUGAUGCUGAUAAAAGCAUAAGUUUUAUUUAUUUUUUAUUUCUAGUAAUAUUUUAAUAUACAGUCAUUUUAAAUUAUUCAUUGCAAAUAAUUUAUCAAAUAAUAAUUUAUUCUUAACUAUAAAUCUUGAAAAUAAAAAUAUCUAUCACUUUUUAUGACGAUAAAACUUUUGUAUUAAUAUUAUAUUUACGUGUUUAUCAAAUAUUUAUUUUCNGAUAUUUACGUGUUUCUCAAAUAUUUAUUUUUUCAUAAAUAAUGCAUAUCUAAUCGUACGCUUAUAUAAUAUCUAAUCGUAACGUAAUACCUACUGCCAUCUUAUUUAAUAUUUUAUAAAGACAAAUAACGUAACGAAAUAAACUUUUAAUUUCUCUUUACCUCUAACAGUUAUUUUUUUUUUCUAUUAAAUAUUUUUAUAUCAUUCAAUAUUCUUUUUUAAUGUCAAUCUUCAAACUCAAUUUUAUCUACCAAUAUAUAGCUUUUGUAUAAACUUUUUAUUAAUCGCAACCAAUAAUCAAAUUUUAAAUUUAAUUUAAUUUAAAUAUCAAUCUAAAUUUUAAUUUUAUUUGAUAUACAAUUUUUAUUUCAUUUGAAAUUUAUAGUUGAGAUUUAAUUAUAUAAUUUAAAUUUAAAUUUUUUAAAUUUUAAAUUAAAAUUAAAAUUUGAUUUCAAUUAUAAAUUAAAUAUAAUAUUAGAUAUUAAAUUUGAAUUAACAAUUCUAACUAAAGCUGAUUAAAUUAAAUUUUAAAUUUUGAAUUAAACAUAAAUUAAAAUUUUUAUACUUUUAAAUUAAAACAUAUAUUUAAAUAUUGGAUUCACUAGAAAUCGAAAAAUAUAGAGAAAUAUUCAAUAUAUAUAAAAAGAAAAAAAAAAUAGAACUAUAUAAUUUUUGUUGGCGGCAACUAUUUAAAUUUGAAUUAGGAUAUGAAAAAUAUUUUUGAAUAAAAUAUAAUAGAUGAAUUUACUUUUUCAAAAAAUUAAAUUUUUAUCGUAAAUUUUCUAAUAAAUAUGAUACACAAAUUUAGUUUGAUUUGAAAUAAUUAUUAAAGUAUAUAUUAACAAACCCAUUUUUUGGUUUAAAAAAAUUUUGCAUUCUAUUUGCGUAAAUAGAAAAAAAAUUUAUACACUAUCCAAAUUUUUUUCAACCGAAGAAUAUCUACUGCAGAAUAUUUUUCACAUACAUAAACACACAUAAAAUAUUUGCAAUAUCCAUUAUCAUUCAAUUAAAUCACUAAAAUAAAAUUAGAUUUAAAAAAUAGAAUGAUUUAAAAUAAAGCAUAUCAACUCGACUCAAAUGUUAAAUUUGGUAAGACUAUCAACUCGAAUUUAAAUUUUAUGUUUGGUAAGACUAUCAACUUGACUUUAAAUUUUAUGUUUAAUUCAUGAUUUUAAACUUGAAUCUAUAUUUAAAUUUAAAAUUUACAAUUAAUUUAUAAUUUUAAAUUUUGGAUCUAUCGUUAAAUUGUUUCAAACCAAAAAUAAUUAACUAAUUUGAAAAUAAACUGCUUAUAUUCAAAUUACGGACUGAAAAAAAACUUCAAAUUUUAAGUUUUUCUCAUAAAUUUAAAUCUGAAUCUAUUAAUUUAAAAUUUUGAAUUAAUUAGAAUUUUAAAUUCGGAUACAAAUUAAUAGAAAAUUUGUAUGUUGUGAAACAUAUAUAAAAAUAUUUACAGUAUAACUAAAUUGAAAAUACAAAAAACUUAUUUGGAGAUAAAUUAAAAUUAUAAAAAAUCAAAUUAUCGACACAUAGCACAGACAACAAUAUAAAUUUAAAAUAUAAAUAUAAAUUUAAUUUAAAAUUGAAGGUGACAUUUUGAAUUAAACAUAAAUUAAAAUUUUCAUACUUUUAGUUUGAAAUAUAUACUUAAAUUUUAAAUUUGCCAGAAUUAAAAAAAAUAUAGAAAAAUAGAACUAUCUGACUAUUGUCGGUAACAAUAAUUUGAAUUUCAAAGUAGGGCUACUGUUCUAUUAGGAGCACUGCAACCCUUAUACUUCUAAGUUCCUAAUCGUCCAUCAAUUUUGAUGGAUGGUUAGGAUGAGAGAAAAAAAAAAUGAUCAGAAAUUAAAGAGAAGAAAAAUUGAGAAAUCCAAUUUCUCUCCAAUUUCUCUUCUCCCUUUCAUCCUAACCAUUCAUCAAAUUUGAUAGGCGGUUAGGAACUUAGGAGCACAAAGGCUGCUGUGUUCCUAAUAGCACAGUAGCCCUACUCUUAAAUUUCAAUUAGAUAUAGAAAAUUUUUGAAUAAAAAUAUUAGAGAUGAAUUUAAUUUUUAAAACUUUAAAUUUUCGGAUGAAUAUGACAGACCUAAAAAAUAUUGCAUUCCAUUUGUAGAAAAUAGAAAAAUAUCUAUAAGGCACAUUGAAAAUAUUCAUACUAUACACUAUCUCUCAAUUAACUAACUAAGAAUAAAUUAGGUUUGAAAAAUAGAAUGAUUUAAAAAUAAGCCUAUCAAAUCAACUUUAAAUUUUAAGUUUGAUUCAUAAUUUCAAACAUAAAUCCAUAUUUUAAUUCAAAAUUUGAAAAUAAUUUGAAAUUUUAAUAUUUGGGUCUAUAAACAAAUUGCUUCAAACAAAAAAUAGUUAAUUAACUUGAAAAUAUAUCAAAUUUGAAAGAUAAAUGGGUUGAUAAAUAAAUCUAUGUCUCCAAUCACUAUUUAUAUUUAAAUUAUAGAUUCAAAAUUAGCUUCAAAUUUUGAGUUUUAUUCAUAAAUUCAAAUCUAAAUUUAUAAAUUUAAAAUUUAGAAUUAAUUCAAAUUUUUAAAAUUUAGAUAUAUAUACAACAAAAUUUGUAUAUUACAGAACACAUAUGAAAAAUAUUUACAGUAUAACUAAAUUAAAAAUAUAUAAAAUUUAGGCUAAAUUAUAUAAAACCAUCCUGUCAAAAUCUGAUUUUUCACUUUCCACCUUGUCAAUUAAAAACCUACACUUUGCCCCCUUCUAAAUGAAAAAUGUUCACGUCGCCCCUGCCGUUAGUAAUCUGUUGGGAUUCCGUUUAUAAAAUAUUAUUAUAUAUUUUUUUAUGCCAAAAAUGCCCUCAGCCUUCUCUCCUGAGGGGCAAAAUGGUGGGGGCAAAAUGGUCAUUUUAUCAUCACGGUUUAUACCGUACUCCCCUGUAAACAUUUUUUAUUUUACAAAGGAGCAAGUGUAGAUUUCCAAAUGACAGUGGGGGAAGUGAAAAAUCGGAUUUUGAUAGGGAGAUUUUGUGUAAUUUAGCCUAAAACUUAUUUGAAGAUAAAUUAAAGUUAGAGAAAAAAAAAAUCAAUUGAUAAAUGGUCUCAUGCCACCAAUAACUAUUUAAAUUUAAAAUAUAAAUAUAAAUAUAGUUUAGUUAAAUAUGAUGUACAUUGCACGUACACUAUAAGUAGUAAUCUAAAAAAAAAAAAGAAAAAAGAGCUAAGCCAUAAGGAGGGCAAAAUGAAAUUUUUUGAACCGUAGAAUGACAAAGUUAAAAAAAGCUACAUCAUAAUAGGCAAUUUGAAGCUUAAGAAAUUAAAAUAUUACAAAUGUUAGCCGUUAAAGUAAUUUUUUUAAGGAUAAACUUCAAAUACCACGCCUGUAGUUUCAUACUUUUUUAUUUUAGUACUCUAUGGUUUAAAGUGUAUAAAAUUAGUAUCCUGUGGUUUUAUUUUUAUUUUUUCGUCAGCUUUUUCGUUAAUAUUUCAUUAAAUUAUAUACAAAAAAAACUUCAGAUACCCCACCUAGGUUUAUCGAAUAUUCACUUUAGUACCCUUUAGUUUAAACUUUGUCACUAAUUUAACGAAAAAAAUUUGUGAAAUCGAUAAUAAAAAGAUAAAAAGAAAAACACAUGACACUAAAUUGAUACACUUUAAACCCCAAGACACUAAAAUUAAAAAGUGUGAAACCAUAUAGGUGAUAUUUGAAGUUGUCCCUUUUUUUAACUUCUAUUACAAUACAAUUUACUUUAUAAUUUUUUUUCAAAAAUAAAUAUAAUUUACUUUAUGUUCUCGGCUUUUUUUUUUUUUUAUUAUUUUGAACUUAAACUGUGGCUUCGGCCCUGUUGGAUACAUUUUGGCCUUAUUAUUUCAAGCACGUGAGAUGAGAAGGAUGUGUAUAGCGUGCGCUGAUAAUAAAUGUGUGUGGUUUCACUCCCACGAAUUGAGGUGAGAAUAAGUCAAAAUAAAGGACUGAUAAUUUCAAACUUUAGAGGCUUAUUAAUUAAAGUCGGUGAGUUUUAGCUAACAUGUAAUUUUCAGAAGAGACUAAGAGGCGCAAAUUUUGGGGGUUAACAUUGAAGAAUAAAUAACCGACCGUCCCUAGAGCAAGUGACAAAAGAGUUAGUGGUUGGUAUCCGAGACUCAAAUUCAAAUCCUAGUUGAUUCACAUUUUCAGCUAAGUUUAUUUCUAAAUGAAAUAAACGAAACGGAUAGCGUGCUACCUAUCUCUCUCAAAAAAAAAAAAAAAAAAAUGAAGAAUAAGAAUAGGAGAUGGACCAAAUGCGGAUUAUAGUAAAAACUUUCACUAGAGACCAGACAAAUCCUAAUUCGUCAUUACGUGUUACUUUUAUCUCUAUUCAAAGAUUAUAAUUUUUUACGGUAGAUUUAAAUUAUUCAAAACUAGCACGCAGUAAUAGAUCGAAGGAUCUUCAACGAGGUGUCGUUGGGGAGGCUCCCACUGAAGUUUUAUCACGGAGCAAUUCUACAUCUACAAUCAUUUUUUCAUUGUAAUCUUUAUCUGACGACUAAAAUUAUUCCGCUUGUCUUCUUCACUCCGCUCCUUUUUAAUAUUAAAAAUCUAAAAAUGGGUUAGCAUUUUUCUUAGGACUUGUUUGGUUCACUUACUUUAUACUAUAGAAUCGGAAUAAGAUUAAUUGAUUCUAAUAGUUGUUAUUUAUUUUCUAGGAACCAGAUUUCGAUUCUCAUUCUAUUUAUAGCACAACACGAUUUUAAAUCUCAGAUUGACCCGUUCCAAAAGAAACCACUCAAAACAGUUUCACACAAUUAUCUUCCUCUCCUCUUCCGUCAUCACUAACUAAAAUCCUAAAUAUUCGUCAGGAUUUUCUUUCUAAUAAUGAACCAAACAAUUUUGGCUGAUUCGUCAUUUCAGUUUUCAUUCCAAUACAAUCCAAUUCUAUUUCUCGUUAUUAUUCCAAUCAUAAACCAAACAUGCCCUUAUUGGUGUAUAUCAGGUAGAUUACAUUUUUGGUACUCAAGUUAUGAGGCAUGUGAUAGUUUGGCCCUCAAAUUUUAUUUUAUUAUAAUUUUUAAUUUGAACUUUUUAAACUAUUGUAAUUAAGUUUCAAAAUUCAAUUUAGUUAAUUAAAAAUUAAGGUAUUGCUAAUGUGAAAAUAAUGUGAUAUCCAAUUAUUACCACGUUGUCAAUCAUAACACUGUUACAACACUUCCAUAUCGACAUAUGUUAUACUUAAUUAACUAAAUUGAGUUGAGAGUUAGUUGCAAUAAUUUAAAAAAUUUGAACAAAAAAUUAUAAUAAAUGAGAGUUUGACAACUAAAGUAACACGCGUCUACCAGUUUGAAGACCAAAAGUAUUGUUUACCUAUAAAUAUUUGACUCCAGUUAGCUAAAAUAUAUAUCACAAAAAUUGUUAAUUUUGAAAUUUAAAUAUUAGGCAAAUAAUAUAAAAUCGUAAAAUAGGGAAUUUAAGAAUUGAAUAAUCUAAAUCAAGUUAUCGGUAUUGAUUAUCGAUUUGAAUGUCCCGUCGCUGAAAAACAAUCUGCAGAUAAACAUGCAACUUAAUUUAAUUCUAAAAGUAUACUAAUUUUGCUUUCCCUUUCUCAUAUAUUAUAUUCCAGCUAAUUAUUAUUCAAGAUAAAUUCCAGAGUCAAAUAUAUAAUUAUCAUUCACAAGGCAUAUGUAUUCUAGGGUAAACUUCAAAUACCUCCUUGUAGUUUUACACUUUCUCAUUUUAGUACGUUGUGGUUUAAAGUGUAUUAAGUUAGCCCAUGUGGUUUCACACUUUCUCACUUUAGUAUCCUAUGAUUUAAAGUGUAUCAAGUUAAUACCUUAUAGUUCAAAGUGUAUCAAGUUAAUACCAUACGGUUUUAUUUUUCUCUUUUUAUUAUCCAUUUCACUAAUUUUUUUCGUUAAAUCAGUGACAAAGUUAAAAUUAAAAAGUACUAAAGUGAGAAAGUGUGAAACCAAGGUAGGGUAUCUGAAGUUUUUUGUAUAUAAUUUAACAAAAUAUUAACAGAGGAGCCGAUGAAAAGAGAAAAAGGAAACCACAAGAUGCUAAANAAUACCUUAUAGUUCAAAGUGUAUCAAGUUAAUACCAUACGGUUUUAUUUUUUUUUAUAUAAUUUAACGAAAUAUUAACAGAGGAAAAAAAUUAGUGACAAAGUUAAAACUAAAGAGUACUAAAGUAAAUAUUCAAUAAAACAAGGUAGGGUAUCUGAAGUUUUUUGUAUAUAAUUUAACAAAAUAUUAACAGAGGAGCCGAUGAAAAGAGAAAAAGGAAACCACAAGAUGCUAAAUUGAUGCACUUUAAACCAAAUGGUACAAAAGUGAGAAAAUGCGAAAUCACCGGAUACUAAAUUGAUACACUUUAAACUAUAGAGUACUAAAGUAAAAAAAUACGAAACGAUAGGGGUGGUAUUUGAAGUUUUCCCUAUAUUCUAAUCCCUAAUUAUUAUUCAAGGCAUAUUCCAAAGUCACAUUUAUACUUUUCCACAUUUGCUCCAUCUCUUAUAAGACCAAAUAAAAAUUCUGAGUGUGUAUAAAUGAGUAUUUGUGUAAACUGUGGACCACCACAUCAGCUGUGGACCAUUUAUGGCAAUUUACCUUCUAGAUUGUUCGUCAGACUGACUUAUCUGUUUGGAUGAAAGUGGAGAAAGAAGAAGUUGUUUUCGAUCGUAAAUGGCUACUUUAUCUGUUUUAUUCGCCGUACACAUAAUAAAGAUAUAAUCGAAACUCCAGUUAUCCAACGUAGCAUAACUAAUUUCGAUCGCGGGUCCAUCUUAGACCUAAGUCAAUUACGACUUAAAAAAUAAAGAAAAAAUAAAAAAUAAUAUAAUUGGUAAUGCUAGCUAAAUUUAAAUGUAUUUGAUUAAUUUAGUUUACAUGCUUAAAAUGUGAUAAAAAUUGGUAAGUUAAGUUUUAAAAUCUCUUUCGUUUAGUUUGCACAUUUAAAUAUGAUGAAAAUUGAUUAGUUGAAUAUUAAUAUUUAUUUUGCUCCAUGAUUUUAUUAUUGCAUUAUUAUAAUUUAUGUAUAAAAAAUAAGUUAGUUGUUUUAGAUUAUAUUUUUUAAUUAUAUAGGGAUGUAAUUUUUUUUAUUAUAUUAGUUUACAUGCUUAAAAUGUGAUGGGAAUUAGUAAGUUGAGUUUUAAAAUCUCUUUUGUUGAGUUUGCACAUUUUAAAUAUGAUGAAAAUUGAUUAGUUGAAUAUUAAUAUUUAUUUUGCUCCAUGAUUUUAUUAUUACAUUAUUAUAAUUUAUGUAUAAAAAAAAUUAACUUAGUUGUUUUAAAUUAUAUUUUUUAAUUAUAUAGAAAUGUAAUUUUUUUAUUAUAUAAUAAUUUAUUAUUUAUCAAGUGAUUUAUAAUUUUUUAUAUUAUUCAUUUCUUGCCAAAUACAUAUCAAAAUUAGAAAAGCUUUGCUUUCAUAGCUACAAAACAAACAACGGGGAGAAAAUAAUUUUGUUCUAAACUUUUUUUCAACCAAAAAUUCAUUUUUUGUAAACAAAUAAACUCUAAAAAUGUGUUUGUUUCACUAAAAAUGGAGAGCGUAUAAAUUGGUUCUCCACCAUAAAUGAUUGUUCGGUUUACCGUAACAUCACCUUCAGUUAAAACUUGAACUCUUCAAAAUAUCGUAAUUGGCUUUGGUUCAUCCUAAACCGAAAUCAAUUACGAGAAAGUAGAGUGAGAUAAAAAUAAUAAAAUAUUAAUGAUAAAAAAUUUUAGUUUUUAUGUCAUUUACUUCCUAUCGAACAAAUAUCAGAAUCAGAAGCUUUAGUUCCACAGCUACAGCAACAAAAUAUGAAAGAGAAAUAAUUUUUAUCAGAACACUAAUUCAUCCGAAAGUCGACUUCAACCUGAACUUUACUUUUGAUAAAACAAAGAUGUCCUAUUAUUGUCGCCACUUUUUUUUUUUUAAAGAAAAAGAUUAUUGAAUUUGAAAAAAAUUUUCUAGAUGUGAAUAGCAUACAUAUAGGACAAAUAACUUUACACGCUAUAAAAAUUAGAAGGUGUGAGAACCAAACUCUGAAACUAUAUGGGUGAUACCUUUUAUAUAUGGACAAACUUCAAAUACCUUGUGGUUUCAUUUUUUUUCACUUUAGUACCCUAUGAUUUAAAGUGUAUCAAGUUAGUACCCUGUGGUUUUGCAUUUUUUCACUUUAGUACUUUGUGGUUUAAAAUGUAUCAAGUUAGUACCCUGUGAGUUUCGCCCAUUAUCACUUUAGUACUAUGUGGUUUCACACUUUAUCACUUUAGUAUCCUGUGAUUUGAAAACCACAUGGUACUAACUUGAUACAAAAAUUAAAACCACAGAAUACUAACUUGAUAUACUUUAAACCACAGAGUACAAAAGUGAUAAAGUGAGAAACCACAGGGUACUAACUUGAUACACUUUAAACCACAGGGUACUAAAAUAAAAAAAAGUGCAAAACCAUAAGGAGAGUUUUUGAAGUUUUUCCUUUAUAUAUUAUUUAUAAGUUGAAGUUUCAUUUCUCUAUUGAAAAAUUUUGGCUAAAAAUUCUAACAUUGCUGGUGAACAUAGAUAUUUGAAUAGUAGGGGUUCUUGCUUCUUUUUUCUUUUUUCUUUUUUUUUUCUUUUUUCUUUUUUUUUCUGAGUUUGUCCAUAGAUUCCUAACCCUGAGACACGAUUAUAAACCCAAUAUAAACACUACCUAAAAAGUCAGGGGUACAUAUCUGAAAUUUUCAUAAAAUUCACUUCAAAGUUCAAAAAUUUGACCACUUAUAUAACUGGUUAGGGCUACUAUACUGAGUGUAGACCCUUUUGUACUUAUAAAUUUUUAACCGUUGAAUAAAAAGAUGCGCGAUUAAGAUUAUAGUAAUUUAUGGUUAGGAGAAUAAAAGCCUCCUAGAGUUGAGUGGACGAUUAGUUGAAUAAUAUGAUCUAACGAAUAGAAAUGAUCUAACGAGUAGAAAUGAUCAAAGAGCUAGAUUUAACGGUCAAAAACUAAUGAGUACAAAGAGAUCUAUUCUCAAGAGUAUAGUAGCGGGAAUCUAUAUAACUACUUUAAAUUCAAAAACAACGGUUGCUGGAUUUGAAUACUUAAGUAAUAUUUAAUUUUUAUGCCCGAGUUAUAUUUAAUUUGGUUCGACAGAUCGUCCGUUCCAAUUCUUUAAAAGGCUAGUGACAUUUUUGUUCAUCAAACUAUGAAGCGCAUGACACUUUAGCUCUCAAACUUUAAUUAAUUAUAUUUUUUUAGUUCAAACUAUGAGACGUGAUAAUUUUGGUUCUUAAAUUUUCUGAAUUGUAAUUGUAUCUUACUUGAUAAUAUAAAGAGUAGUUACGAUGUUACAGCACUUCAAUAUUAGAAAAUUUUCAAUACUUAUUUUUUAAAAAAAUUGGUUGUGAGAUUUGAUUGCGACAAUUCAGACCAAACUAUCACAGGCCUUAUAAUUCGAGUCAGAAAUUACAACAAAUUAAAGUUUAAAAAUUAAAAUGUCACACGCGUGAUAGUUUGAGAACCAAAAGUAUAAUUUACCCUUAUUUAAACAUUGCUCUAAAGUAGUGGAAGCAGGGCCUAAAUUAGCUUAUUGUGCUAAGAGCAAUAAAAAAUACUUAUUAUACUUAACCUAUAUCAUGAUCAACUGAAUAAGUUAUUAUUUAAUAUUUUUAUUGUGUGUAUAUAUAGUUGCAAUAUUAUUGUCCACCUUUGUAGCACACAAACUUUAGUCAAACAUUUUCACCCACUUUGUUUACUAGUAUGUGAAUGUUGACAAUAUGAUACAGCAAAACACAUUAAUAGAGAAUUUUAGAAAAUUAUAUGUUGUUAUACAAAUGAAUCACCUAAUAUUUUUUUUAAUGAUAAUUGAAAGAAUUAUAUUAGAUAAUUAUAUGAUACCCAUUAUUUUUUUUGAUUGAUACAUUUUUUAACUUCUAUAUUUUUAUUUGAGUUUUUUCACUUAAUUAAGUUAAAACUUUUUUAAAAAAUUUAAAGCUCACAUAGUUAUUAGCAGGAUUUAUUUACUAUAAAGUAAUUAAAGUUGUUAAAUUUGAUAAAAUUAUCACUCAAUUCGCUAAAAUUCUCAAUUUAGUUGGUUAAAAUUAUUGAAUUUUAAAAAUCGAAUGUUAAGAUGACCUAAAUAAAAAAAAAAAAAAUUUAUAGUUGAGGGGGCUAUUCCCAAAUAAUCCCAUAGUAAAGCCUACAGGGCACCCUCCCCAGUUAAAUUUACUAAUUAAGCUCAUAAAAAAAAUAUAUACUUACUAAUUAAUGCAUCAUAUAUAUAAUAACUUACUUAAUAAUUAACUAACUAAUUAAUCAUUUAACUUAUUAAAUUAAUAAAUAUUUAAUUAAUUAGCUAAGUAAAUAAUUAAUUAUUUUAUUUAUGUGCUCAUCCACUAAGUAAUAUUCAUAUUAAUUAAAUAAGUAAUAUUUUGACUAAUAUAAUCUAAUUAAUUAAGUAAUUAUCAUAUUAAUUAAUUAAUAUACAAUUAUUUUUUAAUCAAUUAGCUAAUUAAUGUGCUUUUCUACUAUCUUGCACCAUACCAUAAUUAAAUAAUUAAUUAUCUUAAUAAAUUGUUAUUUUACUAAUUAUUUAAUGUUUGUUAACUAGAUAAAAUAUUGUUGGUUUAAAAUUCUAAUUACUUCUAAUUUGUUUGGGAUUGCGGAGAUUGGGUUACAUGAGGUAAGAAAGUACGAUAGAAAAAUAUCAUGUUUGUUUCUGUACAUAAUAUUACGUUCCGCAUAUUGCGAUUAGUCGGUUAUAAUAUAUUUUCUGCGGUCCCAUCGGAGAACAUAAAAGCAUAUUCCUAUAGUUUUUUUUAUAACCCCAUUUUAUCUAACAGCGUAAAAUAGAACUCAAUACCAAAGCUUUACUGUAUUAGCCAAACCAUCCAAACAUUCUUUUUCAAACACAAAAUUAGUUUAGUUUUUAUUUAUCCCAUAAAUUGUAUCUAUAUUAGAAAUUAGAAAUAAGGUAAAAACGCAUAAAACUUACUUCCAUUGUGAACCAUUUUGAAUCAGCUGUGCAACAUUUCGAAAUUUUGAUUUAACUAUCCAAUCGUUCAAUUUGUUUGAUCAGAGUCGGUCAACGAUAUUUUAACUUUAAAAUUUAAGCGAAUUACUUUAAUAAAUUUAUAAUUGCAAGAAUUAUAAGAAAUAUACUAAUUAAAUUUAUAAAAAUUAACAACAUCAUUUAAAUUUCAAAGUCAAAGCGCCGUUGACUAAUUCAAAUAAAACAAGUUGAAAGGUUGGCUAACAAACUUAAAAUUUUAAAAAGUUAGGUAGUCGAUUCAAAUAAUUCGUUAGUCAAAUAAGUGCUAUAUAUUUUUAAGUAAAAAUAAAUAAAUAAAUAUAUAUAAUUUUUCUGGACCAAAUGAUGAUACCUAUAAGGGUGCGUUUGGUUCUGAGUUAUCCUGUCAGAAUUACUGUAUUUGGUUCAUCCGCUAUAUAAUGUAGCAUUACAAAUCGAGCAGGAUUAUACCGAAAAUAUUAACGAGAGGGGGUCGUGUAUCUUGGAUUACUGAAAAUCGGUAAUACUAUAAAUUAUGUAAAAUAACAAUUUUACCCUCCAACACUCCCAAACCCAAUUAACAGCAUUGUUUUAAUCUCUCUCUCACGCGCUCCCCUCGCUCUCGCACGCCGCUAUCUUGCUCUCUCUCUCUCGCACGCUGCUCUGUCUCUCUCUCUAUCUCUUUCUCUCUCUCUCUCUCUCUCACGUCUUUUUUUUUUUUUUUUUUNAAAUGUUAGAAAAAAUUUCAUAUAUUUUUGUGCUCUAAUUAAUCAUUAAUCAUGUGUUAGUCUAAAAAUAAAAAAGCCUAGUUUAAUUUGUUGUGUGCAAAUGAUAAUUUUUUAUUUAAUUUAUUAUCAUUUAAUUUUAAUUUUAGUUUUUUAUUUAUAUUUUCUCUCGUCAAUUAAUAUUCAAAUGACCACAACAAGGGUAAUUUUAAAAAAAAAACUAUACUUUUAUGUCAGUAUACUAAAUUUUAUAGACUGAACGAAACGUAAUAAUGAUAUAAACACUGCAAUCUAAUAUUAUAUUACUGUAUUAAACCAAACGUGCUAAUGCAGCAUCAAUAGUAAUCUCACGCAAAAAUCUAAGAUACCUGAAUAUGUCGAGAUGCUCUUUAAUAUUACAUAAUUCGAACCAAACGCACUCUAAAAAUUGUAUGCAAAAUGUGGGAAAUAGAAACGUUAUAGUUUCCAGCUGUUUGCAAACAAAAAAGGCAACGUCGCGACUUUUAAAGCAGUGUAAACGGGACUACGGCAUAAUAGAUUCUCUUAUUAUUCUUUGAUUUGACCACCACUUAACUUUGCUUAAUGGAUAAUGUACCGGGAAUUUUAAAGCAUAAUAUUUAAGUAGGAUUAUGAUGCAAGUAAUUUGUUUAAUAUCUUUGUGAUUUAACCCGUUAAUUAUGAUUAGUAGAUAGAUAUUGAGUGAGCAAACCAAUCACAUUGUCUUUGUCAAGUAAAAUGAGAUAAGCCCAAGUACGGUUUUACGCGGUAGGUGUGGUUGGUGAUUUGGAUGCGAACAGGCCACGUGGACAAAUAUCUUGGUAGGUUUCAACCAUAUAAUAAUAAAAUAAAAUAAUUUGAAUUUGAAUAUAUAUCUUUGGGGAAACUCCUAAAACCCAAUCCAACCUCCCGUGGUUUCGUACUUUUUUAUUUAAGUACCUUAUGAUUUAAAGUGUAUCAAAUUAAUACUCUGUAGUUUCGCACUUUGUCACUUUAGUACCUUGUAAUUUAAAAUGUAUCAAGUUAGUACUCUGUAGUUUAUUUUUGUAUUAAGUUAGUAUCCUGUAGUUUUAUUUUUAUAUCAAAUUAGUACCCUGUGAUUUUUAAACUAUAUGGUACCAAAGUGAGAAAGUGCGAAACCACAGGGUACCAACUUAAUACACUUUAAACCACAGAGUGCUAAAGUGAAAAAGUGCAAAACCACAGAAUACUAAUUAACUUGAUACACUUUAAACCACAUGGUAUUAAAGUGAGAAAAAGUGAAACCAUAAAGUAGGUAUUUGAAGUUUUCUCUAUAUAAGAUAUAUAAUUAUUACGAUUAGUGCCUCUCCAGCUAAUAACUUAGAAUGUGUUUUCUUAUAUCGAAAUUGGACACAGAAUUCGUGGAUUUGUGUAACUCGAGAUGUGUGAGACAGUCGUCACGCAAUCGUCACGCACGAAGUCGAGUUUCGCAGAAUGGAUAAAACUCGCCGGCUUUUAUUUAUGAGAUGGAGACCAGUGUUACCGAAUAUAUAGAGUUGGAGCCGAGGGCGAAGGAAAAGCAAGCAAGCAAGCAUAGGCCUCCUAUUAUCAAAAUAAAGAUAUUUAAUAACAAUCUUAUUUGGAAUCACAAUUUUUUGGUAUUAUUAAAAAUAAGAAUUUAGUCUUUGCUGCUUAAAAGAUCUCGACAUGUAUAAUUAGUAGAAUAAAUAUAUUUGAGACUAAAAAAUAAUAUAGGUUUCUAAAUAUUCGAUCACAUUUCAAGAGUGAUUCUUAUGUAAAUUAAAUUGUCACGCUCCGGAUUACACGUUCCACGGGCACGCCGACAAAUCCGCCGUAUACAAAGGAAUUUUUUCUGUAUACGAAGCGACAACUGUAUCUGUAAACCAAAUAAUACCACAAACAGUAAUAUAGAGCUGCUAGAGUAAACAGAAGCUAAACAAACGGAGAUCCAUAUACAUAGCUCAAAAAUCAAAAUACAGAGCUACUCGCACUGGCGAGUUAAGUAUACUAUGUACAUGAACUCAAAAUAAAACAUCUACCUGCAGUAGGGUACCUUUAGCUCGGCACGUCGGAUAGUGCUCUAGCUCGUGACGCCAUUGCCUCGAUCCUGAUCUGCGAUAGCAGCAGCCGAUGACAAUGGCUCUGCAAAAAUAAUGUGUAACAAUAGGGCGUGAGAACUACUGUAAAAACAGGUAGUCCUCAGUGGGUGCCGCCCUAAACAACAUCGGUCCACCCACUAAGUCUACAGAAGGGAGCCAGGAUAAUAGUAAAUAUAGGAAUAAAAUCUACCGUUAUGAAUCACUACACUAUCAUGCUCUACACUAACCAACUGUAUGAAAUGUCAAAUCUGACCCAAUCCAAUCGGGACUGUAAGCAUACCCGUCCCUGCCCAGUUGUGACUAUCCAGCUACCUCCACACUAUUAGUUUGUGGAGAGCAAGUCCAACCGGUAUGAGCGACACCAACGCGAAAGUACAGCGCCCGUCUCCGGAGUGGCACUCGUGGGAGCUACCAAACCGAGUAUGCAGCGUAUCUCUGUCGAGCUCAAUCAGGCUCUCAAAAGCCAAAGUCCAGUAACCAACUCAAACUGGUCUAACAACCAACAGGUAACGUGCCCUCGGCACAAUUCGACGCCAAAAAGGCGAUAUGGGUCCACCGUCAACCCCGACGGCACCCAACAGUCCGGAAUAGCCUGAACGCUACUGUAAAAAUAUAAUCGGCAUCCCGGCACGAGUGUAACUGAAAGCUAAACUAUCUGGAAUACUCACUAUGAGGAUACUGUUACAGUAUGAAAUAAUACAACGGCCCCUAGGGCUAAAUCAGGUAGUUUAAAUAUAUGACGAUCAUAUUCGCGAGUUUUCUCCUAAGUUUUAUCCAAGUCCAACAUGUAUAUAUAUAUAUUCAAAGAUAAUAACUCAGCUCCAAUUCAGAUUAUUAACCAUACUAAAUCAAUGAACCGAGCAAUUGCGCCACACAAGAUAAUUCCACAAUUACAUGUUGACUAUAUAGGCACUUAGGAGUAAACCAAUGAUUAACGCACCUUAAUUGCAAAUCCCCGACGGUGAAGAAGGUCACCGGAGUCCCUGUCAAGCUCGGCGCAGCUCCCCGAACCAGCGACAACACGCUCCACGGGUCUAAACAUAGAAACCCAUAAUAAGCAUCAAUUCUGCCCAAAACAGCAGCAGCAGAAAGAAAUAGGGAUACGACCUAGCAAACCUUCACCAAAUACAGCAAAUAAGGGCUUCGUGGAUUCCUCUCGAAGUCCUGAAUCCAACGAACCAAGUCCUGUCGAAAUCCGACGUUCCUACGCCGAGUACGAGCUGAAACACUGACGGUCGACGCUGAAAAUCAGUAAAAUCAGCAUGCGAGCUCAAAACCGUGCGUUCAAGUAAUCCAAGAAGGAAAGUUAGGUACCCACAUCGACAGCAAAUCCAGCGCCGGUGCGACAUCGAGGACGGCGAAAACGCACCCUCGCCCGGCCUCCAUGUGACGCUACGGCAACAAACGUAUGCUCAAACGGCUCCGCGAUGCGACGUCGGCGACGAACGCUCCACCCAAGCUUCUCCUCCUCGCGUAUGGCUCCAGAGACAGAGAGGGAGGAAAUUUUAAUUAAGGAGGCAUGUACAACCCCCUAAUUAGAUAAGCAUGAAAUACAUGCAUGGAGGCACGUGGCAUUAUAUAUAUAUAUAUAUAUAUAUAUAUAUANAAUAAAAUAUUCAAACAUCCGAGCAUUAGCCUUAUCUCAUACCCAAAAAUUAAUUUGAAUGUUCAUUCCAAAACAUUUGUUCGCGAUAUUCAUUUACACUAGUAUAAAAUAAAACAACACAUUUGGUCUCCAACUCAUUUUAAUUUUUAAAAUAAGAUAAAUUAUCACAUAAAUAAAAUAUGUUAUCCUACCAAAUGCUGCAUGUCUUUUUAUUUUUAGGCCUUAUUUGAAUGUCGAAAUAAUUUAUCCAAUAAUUAUUUAUACAAUACAAAAAUUUUCUUACAUAAUUGAAAGGCACGAGUUUGAUUGUUGCUCUUUAAAAAAAAAAUUUAAAAAUUUUGAUUUAGUAGGAUAACAUAUUUUAUUUAUCAUAUUUUGAAAAAAAAGAGGAAAAAUUUUAAUGGCCGAAUAUGCUAUUCUAUUGAAGACAUUUAACACAUUCCUAACUUUCAAUCACAAAUCUUUACACGGAAUAAAAUAUCAUCGAAUAGCUUACACCGACAUGCAAAUAUAUACGCAUCCAAACUAAGCUUUAGCAUCUAUCAACUUUACAAAAAGAUAAAAGAAAAAAAAUUAAAAAAGAAGCGCCUAAGACCUAACUAAAUUUUUGGGCCUAAUCCUAACGAGUCAAUUGAAGUUUUAAAAACACAACAUAAGAAAAUACUUUGCUUCCAUCAAUUUUUUUAAAUCCCAUGAAUUUAAGCUUAGAUUAUUUGUCACAAAUCCAACUUUAGGACCCCUUUUUAGAUAUCGAAAUAAGUUAUACAAUAAAAACUUAUUCGCAAUAAGAUUUUCCUAUGUGACUAAAAAGUAAAGAAUUUAAAUUUUGCCCCUUCAGAGGUCUAAAUUUUUAUAAUUUAUUAAACAGCGUACUUCACUUACAAUGAACAAAUAAUUUAAAGACGAAUUCAAAGAAAUAUGCCGAACAAAAUAUCCAUGCAUCCAAAGAGAGAGUCUAUAUUGCGACUCGCAUAACAAAAAGCUUUGAAACAAAAAUAACGAUGCAUGGUCGACUAUCAAAAAUUAAUUGUUUAUAUAAUAAAUUUCAAAUUUUAAAACUACCGACGACAAAUAAACAAGCCAAAAUUUAACCGAAUUAGGCUUCGUUUGGAAUUGCGGCGAGAUUGCGUUACGUACCGUGAGAGAAAGUACGUUGAAAAAAUACCCUGUUUGUUUCGUACGAAAUAUUACGUUUCGCAUAUCGCGAUGAGUCGGUUACGAUAUAUACUCUGCGGUUCCACCGAAGAACGCAGAAGCAUAUCCCUAUAUGUUUUUUCCUCAACUCCAUUUUAUCUAAUAACGUUUGGUAGACCUCAAUACCAAACUAAACCUUAGUAGAAUCUGACUUAAAAAUUUUCUCAUCACAUUUUCGCAUUUCAAAGCAUUUUUAAUUAACAGGAAAGACUAUUGCAAAACCUUGCAGCGAAAUAACAUGAUCAAAACCCAGGAAAAGAGAGAACUUGAGACAGAAAACUUCAAAUAAAACCCGUGGUUUUGCACUUUUUUAUUUUAGUACGCUGUGGUUUAAAGUGUAUCUAGUUAGAAUCAUGUGGUUUCACACUUUCUCACUUUAGUACCCUGUAAUUUCAAGUGUAUCAAGUUAGUAUUUUGUGGUUUUAUUUUUGUACCAAGUUAAUACCCUGUAAUUUUAUUUUUGUAUCAAGUUAGUACCCUGUGAUUUUAUUUUUCUCCGAAUAAAAUAUUAAACCACAGGGUACUUAAGUGAGAAAGUGCGAAACCACAGGGUACUAACUUGAUGCACUGUAAACCACAGGGUACUAAAGUAAGAAAGUGCGAAACCAUAGAGUACUAACUUGAUACACUUUAAACCAUAGGGUACAAAAGUGAAAAAAAGUGAAACCACAAGAGGGGUUUUUGAAGUUUUCCCAACUUGAGAAUACUCUCAAAAAGUUGAAACUCUCUGAUUAUUAUAAUCUUUUUUCCUAUAAAAAGAAGCUAAUAUUUUUUGGAAGUAAGUUUUUUUAAAUAUAUUAUGGUAGUAAGUUUUUUAAAAUAUUUUAAAUAUAUUUAAGUAAGUUUUUUUAAAAAGAAGCUAAUAUAUUUGGGGACAGAGAGGCAGAUCAGAUUCAUCGAAUUUUGGUUAAUUUACAUCAACGAAUGAAUAGUGAUCAAUCAAUCUAUCAAUAUUCAAAUUAGCUCAAUAAAUAACAUCACCCAAAAAUUUAGCAGCAUCAGCAAAACAACUCUAAAGAGGACAAAUCCUGAAUAGAGAAGCCGAAAAGCGCAGAUAAAGCCAUGUGAAAAAGAAGUAAUCUGGUAAGAUACAAGUUAACUUGAGACUCAAUAAAACGAUUACCUGGCCUUGCUAUCCAAACAAGUCAGUCAAAAUAAUAGCAACUAAUCAUAUAUAUAUAUAUAUAUAUAUAUAUAUAUAUAUAUAUAUAUAUCAAAAAUGGCCAAAAAUUUUUCACACAACUCCCCCUCUAAUGUUCUCUCCACCCAAUGCAGUGGAUUAGAGAACAGAGAAAUAAUAAUUCUAAGAUCAAACCCUACGACUCGGACUCAUAAAAACGCUAUACUAUAAUGUUCCUGACAUAACAUCUAGUUCGCUAGACGACUACAAGUCAUUCUAGAUUAGUUUUUAAAUUUAAAUUUGUAAAUGUUCUCUCCACUCAAUGCAGUGGAUUAGAGAACAGAGAAAUAAUAAUGCUAAGGUGAACCCUGCGACACGACUCUUCGCAUGACGCUACGGUAUAAUGUUCCUGACAAAACAUCUAACUCGCUAGAAGACCCUUCAACAACUAAAAGUCAUUUUAGAUUAGUUUUUAAAUUUAAAUUUGUAAGCAGCACCGCCUUAACCUUUCGCUUUGGUUAUUCGCAUACUUAUGUAUGUUCGAAGUGGAUAAAGCUAAGGGGGUGCUGAUCAAAAGUAAACUAAAAACCGACUAUAUAUGCACUAAAAUGACUUAUAGUAGUAGGGAACACUUGUAUACCUAAUAUUUACUCGUGUUUGUCUCUUUUUUCAAUUAUCCAGAAAAAAAAGAAGAAAAAUAGAUAUUUACUGCACAGUUUCUUCGCAUUUAUUGACCAGGAGCAGGUAUUGCCUGGUCCGGAGGGUCGUGGACAACAACACUCUUACGCAUCUUGUCCUCCUGCAGCUGUAAAAACAUUAUUGAUCAAUCACUAAAAUAUGCCAAUCAUAGAAAAAAUCACAGAACCAAUCACUCCAAAAAAAGGGUUAAUUUCAUUUAUGUCCCUGCAAACAUAGUAAAUAGCAAAUAUAUCCCUAUAAAAUUCAACUUUUAUAUGUUGUCCCUGCAAAAGUCCUGAUGUUUUCAAAUAUCUCUGCCGUUAAAAUCCGUUAGAAAAGUAAGUUAACCAUAGGUUAAAUGCUUAGCCCUAGUUAGUUUUUGAUAUUUUUAUCCCUUUAUAUUAUACUAGUAUGGCUUUUGGAGGAAUAUAUUUGUGAUGACAAAAUUGAAAAUAUAAACAGUUCUCUAAUGUAACAAUCAGAAGGACAUAUUUGAAAACAUUAGGACUUUCGUAGGGACAACAUAUGAAAGUUGAAUUUUGUAGGGAUAUACUUGUCAUUUUGCUGGGACAUGUAUGAAAUUAACCCAAAAAAAAAAAAAAAAGCCAAUUGUUACUCUUAGGGUCUAUGGAAUACUCAAAUUGCAGAAGUAUAGGAGAAGAAUAAGCUUAGUGGAUUAAGGCAUAAAUUUGUUUCUUCUGUAAACGUAAAGACAUAGAUUGUCACUAAAUAGGUUAACAGGAUGAAGUUCUCCACGAAAGAUAAAUGCAAAUCCUGUCGCACUGUACUAAUUUAAUGAAACAACCGGACAAGAAAAAUAGAUACUUGUCACUUACCUGGAUCUCAACAUGAUUCGAGGUCACUAGCGCUUCCCGUAAGAGCUGGAACACAUCUAAAUUUUUCGUCAACUGUUUAACCUGUAAUACACAUGAAGCAAAAUGUAUUCCAUCAUAAAUUACCUGUUUAUGUUAGCUUUAGAUAUGACAUAAAGCUUGCUAAAAUAAUCUAUAUAUAUCUACCUUAAUAUUGAAUAUCUUUAUUAAGUUCAGAAGGAUUGCAAUUAAGAUAAACUGGGUAUUCAAUAAGCGGUGCUCGGAAAGACAGGUUGGGAAGCAAAAGCACCCAAAUCUAAGAUUAAGAACAUUCUGAAUUUUUUUCAGACAUGCCUAGGGAUUGAAUUCACUUAUACAUAAUAGCGCCCCCAAUCACUGCUUAGUAAUUAUAAAUAAGUUAUCUUAGUUUGCCACUUCCCUUAAGUGCAAGUUAGUUUUCUUGGUUAUUGACACAGGACAUUGGCUUUAUUAACUUUAAAAAAAAAAGGAGAAUUAUUAACUUGCAAACUGUUAAUGCACAGUGAUAAAAUAAUGUUUCUAGCCACUUGUAGUCACAACUUUGGAAUUUGUGGGUAAAUCAAAAAAGUUUGAAAUUGGCACAAAAUCAAAUGAAUUUGGCAUUCAGGAAUGAUUCAUCAAUAAACAGUUAGAAAAACUGUAGAAAUACAGAAAAUAUGUAAAAGUAAUCAACAGGAUGUUUCUUUUAAUCUACAUAAUAUAAUGAACAGUUCCUGUGGCAACGGGUGACUCGUAAGAUUCUUGGAGUCUUGACUUAUUUGAGUAAUGGAUAGAUGAAGUAUCACGUAGUCCUUUUACCAUGUAAUUUGAGAAAUACUUCGCCAACAAUAGAUCCUACAAUUAUUCAUAAAAUUUCAAAAAAGUGCAAAGAUGUUCAACGAACUUACUUUCCGGAAUUCUGCAAUUUCUCUCACGGUUACCCAUCCUUCACUAUCCAUUAUUGACUUCAAGUACCAAUCGUCGACCAAGUUUUCAUCACUAAACAUAAACAGAAAAGCAUCCGCGAUCAAAAGGAGUUAACAAUUAGAAGCUAAAGGAAACCAAGAGAUGGCUAAAUACAAACAUAAUUUGUGAAAUUUGACCUUGAUUUCAAUUUCCUACCCAUACAAUUAGAUUUAGUCUCCGAAGUUUUCCUGCAUAACAUUAAACUUUUUUGCUAUCUAUUAUCUAAAAAGUAGACUUUAACAUGACAGUGAAACAUUGGAAUAAUAACUAUAUAGGGAGCCAACUCACGGAAAGGUGGUCACCGUCCAUCACUACAUAAAUAUUCAUGCAUUGAAUGUGAUGAACGGUUGUGAUUAGACCAUCUGUUCAUGCUCCCCAAGUAACUUCUUUCUAGACAUUGCAUUGCUAAAUUUGAAGCAUGAAGAAGCGAAAUCGAAGCCUGGAUCAAACUUCAGGGAUUAAAUUGCGUAAAAUGAAACUUUGAGGAUGAAACUAAAGUCAAGUCAUGCUUCAGAGAAUAAUUUUAUAAAAAACUCUACGGUAAAUUGAAAUGUGGAUCAAACUUCAGGGACUACAUUUGUAAGUAAACCCCCAAAAGAACUAAGGUUAAGUGGAAUCUGCAAGAACUAACCUGAAGUAAUACUCUACUUGACGGCGCAGCUUUCUGAGUAGUUCUGGGUGAUCAACGAUCUCAACUUUGCCGUCAAUAACAAUCACAUACUUUUGAACUGGCUCGGAAUUAACUGGAGUCGGCGGAGUUUCGAGGUUAUUUAUAGGAAAGUUGUUACUAUAACCACUUGCUUCUGUAAAGUAAACAGCACCAUAGUCACAAGUUCAGGAUUUUAAAUCGAAAAGAACUGAUAAAUUCUAAAUGUAGCAAACAACUCGCAAUUUAAAAAGAAGAAGUAAUUCAGAUAGUAAAAUAUAAUUAUUGAAACAUCAAAAUACACAAAAAACAGAGUUUCCUGCAUAAUUAUGUUAUUUAAUUCUGUGUUCGACGGAGCAUAGAAAAGUAAAAGACGCAAUGAAUGAUUUCUUUCGGCUAUAAAUACUCACAAACUUACUAAAUAUUUGGAAUAAUGCGUAGAGUAUUCAAAGCUUCCCGUUGUUUCCUUCGAAUAUUCAUGGACCAGCAAAUAAAUAACUCAUGAUUUCCCAAGAAAACAAAACGAUAUUGUUUUGUAACUACAAUCAAAACCUAAUGCAACAGAAUCUUUUUAUCUCUCAAGAUGUUAGAUGCAAAAUAAAACAAAAGAACAGAAAUAAGAGAGGAAACAGAGCGAUCGCUAAUUAAAAUUUUACUCACCUGGAUUGAAGGGAGCGCCAAAGGGAUCCAAAGGCGGGAAGGGCGCGGCAAAGUUGGCGCCGAAAGGAGGAAUCCGGUGGCGGUGAUCGAACAUCAGCGGGGGCGCGGGGAGGCUGAAGUGGGGCCCGAACGGCACGGGCGGGGGCAACCUGUGCCCUAGGGCGAACGCGUGCGGCAGCGGCGGGGGCGGCGGCGGCGGCGGCNCCCGAUUGAGCGGGGAGAAGUAGCCGCCGCCGCCGCCGCCGCCGCCGCCGUAGCCAUUGCUUGCGAAUCCGCUGUAGGGGUCGAAGAAGGGGCCGGCGCAGGGAACCCUCCAGUGUGGCGGCAGCGGCGGCGGAGAGCGACCGUCGAACCUUGGGCGGCGCGCGUGGCCGGAGAGCAACUGCUGCGCCGGGCGCCGCGGCGGCGACGUGGCCAUCUCAUGCGCCGGAGCCACGGCGGUGGAGGAGGCGGCGGCGGCGGGGGUAGUCGGCGUCGACAUAGCUCCCGGAAGACCAAAGAAACCCUAGUAGACGAAACGAAAACCCCAGAAACCCUAACCAAGGCUCAGAAAAACCCUAGGAAGCCCUAUAAGACACUAGAAACCCUAACCAAGUCUCGUGAGGAGAACGACGGAGGGGAACGAGAAGAGAAAGAGAGAGAGAGAGAGAGAGAUAGAGAGAGGGAUUAUUCGAUUUUUUUUGUAUAAAAAAAUUUGAGAUAAGAUUUUAUUUAAAAAUAAAUUGAUGAAUAAUAAUGCGUAUUUAUGAAGAGAGAAUGCGGAGUAGUCGGAAAAAGAUUGCCGCGUCGCGCCUCCGUGAGAAUUAAUCGGCGAUUAGGCGCUUCCCCCUCCCGAUUAAUACUCGUAGUAGGAGGAGGAAUCGCCAACCAUGCAAUAUAUAUUCAUAUUAAACCGGUAUUUUUUCAUUAAAAGAAAAAAAGGUAAAUUUCAAAUACCCCCCUGUCGUUUCGUAUCUUCUCACUUUAGUAUCAUGUGGUUUAAAGUAUAUCAAGUUAGCCCCUGUAGUUUCGCACUUUCUCACUUUAGUGUCCUGUAGUUUAAAGUGUGUCAAGUUAGUAUCUUGCUGUGAUUUUAUUUUUAUCUUUUUAUUAUCUAUUUUAUUAAUUUUUUUCGUUACGACAGAGUUAAAAUUAAAGGGUAAUAAAGUGAAUAUAUUCGAUUCGAUAAACCUAGGUAGGGUAUAUGAAGAUUUUUGUAUAUAAUUUAACGAAAUAUUAACAGACGAAAAAAAAAAUCAAUGACAAAGUUAAAACUAAAGAGUACUAAAAUAAAUAUUCAAUAAAUCUAAGUAGGGUAUAUGAGUUUUUUUAUAUAUAAUUUAACGAAAGAUUAACAGAGAAGCCGAGAAAAAAAAAUGAAACUAAAGUGUACUACAUUAAUGCACUUUAAAUCACAAAGUACUAAAGUAAGAAAGUACGAAACCAUAGUAUAGGGUACUCAAUUGAUACACUUUAAACUGCAAGAUACUAAAGUGAAAAAGUGAGAAACGCAUGGUGUUAUUUGAAGAACUAGUUAUAACGAAGAACUAGGUAUACCGGGGAUAGGUACAAGUAUGGAUUUUUAUAAGAAUAAGGGUAUUUUUUUGUUUGAAUGAAAAAAUUUGAGUACAAGCUAGAACUAGAAAAAUUAUGUUUGGAUGGUUAUUGAAAAUAAGAGAAAUAGUUGAUGAUUAUAAAUAAAAAAUAAUAAUAUUACCCCUCUCAUUAUAUUUGAAUUUAAAUUUUUAAUUUUUGAAUUUAAAUUUUUAAAUUUAAAAUUUAAAAUUAUAACUUUUAAAAUUGUUCCCACCCACUUAAUGGUGUUUGGGUACAAGAGGGGGGAUAACCCCUUGUCCCCCCUCUUGUACCCAAUCCAAACACUCCCUGAUUUCUCAAAGAAAAAAAGAGUUCGACCCGUAAUUUUCGAAACUGAACCGGUUAGGUUAGAUCCGGUUUUUUUACCCUUUCUUUCGUUUUUCUGUUUUUGGUUUUUUCGAGAGAAAAGUAUAUAAGCAUGUUUAGUUUAUUUCUAGAAAUAAACUUUUUAAAACUAAGAUUUUUUUAAAAAACAAAAUUUGUUGUUGUGUAGUUGAAGAUAUGUAUUGAUCGCAAAUUUAUACUAGCACGGUGAAAAAUUGUGUUAUUUUGAUAGUUAUAAGAUGUAUCAUUAGUUUGUUUUAUAGAAAAAAUUUUUGGAUUAAGCAUGCAAUUGGAUCCGGAUUAAUGGAAUUCCUGUUCCGAUCCAUACUGAAUGGAAUGAUAAUUGGGGACGAAAAAUAAGCAAAAAAAAAAAAAAGGAAAAAGUUCAAAUACCACUCCUGUGGUUUCGCAAUUUCUCACUUUAGUACCCUGCAUUAUAAUGUUUAUCACUUUCGUACCAUGUGAUUUUAUUUUUUUAUUUUUUGUUAUCUCCUUCACUAAUUUUUUUUAUUAAAUCGAGUGACAAAGUUAAAACUAAAGGGUACUUCGAUAAACUAUAAAUGGGGUAUUUGAAGUUUUUGUACAUAAUUUAAUAAAAAGUUAACUGAGGGCUGACGAAAAGAGAAAAAUAAAAUCAUAUAGUACUAAAUUGAUACACUUUAAACCAUAGGGUACUAAAUUGAUACACUGGAAUACUAUUGCUAGCAAACGGGCUCCGUUGCCACUCAUUUGUUUUCGAUGAUGGAGCCUCCAAAUUAACGAUCGGCACCAUUGAACAUGAUCUAUACUACUUUGAGUAUUUAGAAAUCAAAUUUUAUGAUUUUUCGCUAUUGUUCUCUUAAUCAUCAAGUAGACGUAAAAAUGAACGGCUGAAAAUAAAUAUCCUCUAAAAAAUGAUGAUAGGAAUUUUCUAAUCAAGAUCGAGAGUAUAGAUUUUGUUCUAAAUAGUUUAAAGAAUUUCUAUUUGAAUAGCUUUACACCGUUAAACAAGAAAAUGCCUCAUAUCUACCAUUAAAAUUACAAAAUUUGAAACCAUUUGAUUAUUAGGUCAAUAAUGUCAAAAAGAUUUGAAAUUUGAUUUCUAGAUGCUUCAAGUGGUAUACAUUAUGUUCAACAGUGCCGAUCGUCAAUUUAAAGGCUUUAUCAUCGAAAACAAAUAAAUGGCAACGGAGCCCGUUUGCUACUAAUAGCAUUCCAGCUCAUCUCUCUCUCUCUCUCUCUCUCUAUAUAUAUAUAUAUAUAAUGUAAAAUAAUUUCAGGUUUGGCUGGAGCUUGGGUUCGGGUUCGACUCGGGCUCGAGUUCGGGUUCGGGUGCAAUCAAAAUUCAUACCUGAAUUCAAAUCCGUCGGAUUUUUAUUUUUGAUAUGCAUAUCCGAAACUAUAUCUAUUUAGUAUCAGAUAAAUCUACUCCAUUGGAUUCAAGUUCGGAUAAAAUUUUAGAUAUCUGUAUCAUUGACAUCCCUAGAAAUGGUUGAACGAGAAAAGAGACUAUAUCAUAUAAUAUUUUAUUUUAUUUUUAUUUAUCAUAAUAAUAUAUUUAAAGGCAAAUUAUAUGCCACUCAGAUCAAUUGACAUUUAUCUAUAAUUCAGAUCAUUGUAAUUGCAUUUUAAAAAUUAUUACUAAACAAAUUAUAUUAUUUUUGCUAAACUGAUCUCACCUAAUUUAAUAUAAAAGAUUUUCUAUAGUAAGUAAUGCUAUUUGUACAGCAAGAAUUAGAGAUGUAGAUUGAACCAGAUUGGUGGACCCUCUGUUUCGAUCCACUUCAAAUGAGGCCGUAAUUAAGUGAGAAUAAAAAAUAUAAAAAAGUGUAGCUUGUUUCGAAUCUGUCCGAUUCGCCAAGUAGAUGGAGCGAGAGGCGAGAGACCCUUGCUUACUGCUAUAAAUUCAUCAAAAACCCUCUCCUACCCCGAUCCACCCGAAUGGAUUCACAAGUGAGAGUAAAAAAUAUGAUUAAAAUUAGGCUAAAAUAUAAAAAAAUUCUUAUAAAUACCCACUUUUUACUAUUUCUUUUUUACUUUUAAAAUCUAUUUUUUGUACUCUAAAAAUUUUAAAAAUAUUUUUAGGAAAGUAUGACUUUAAUGGAGAAGGCAAAAUGACUAAAUUAUCCUUAUUUUUUUUAUAACAAAAAAUAAUUUUUUAAUAUAUUGCUGUAAUUUUGAAUUUUUUAAUAUAUUGUUGUAAUUUUGAAGGGCAUUUUCGGUAUAAAUUAUAAAAAAUAAACGGAAUAGUAAUAGAACCCUAAUAUAGGAGGGCCAAAUGUAACAACUUGAAAUGUUAAAAAGAUAAAAUAUAGAAUUUUGAAAGUUAAAAAAAAAUAAAAAAUAAGUACUUAUAAGGAGAUUUUCUGUAAUUUAGCCUUAAAUUAACCCGUCAUGAAUCUGUCCCGACCCAACAUGAAAUGGAGCGGGAGGUGGAAGACAGCUCCCUCCUUUGGAUCCGCUCCGUUUGCAUCCCUAUCUAAGAUGUAGGUGUUAAUCUUAUAUCUUAGCCUCUUGAUGAUCAGAAUGUCCUCACUUAUUUUAUCAAUUUUUGUAUUAAAAAUUUUACAGAAUUGUCUAAAUCCUAAGAAAUAUUUUCUAUAUAACAGAUAAUACCCAUUAAUACAUGCAAAGAAUUCAAAAUAUGAUAAAUCAUGAAAUAUAACAAAUAAUUUGAAAAUAUAAUAAUUAAUUAAUUUAUGUAAAGAUGCUUUAAUUAGUUAAUUAAUUUACAAAGAACUCAUUAUGUUUGGUAUUGUUUUAUUUAUCCAAGGGUUGUAGUCCUACUCCUAAGAUUUAUACAAAUUUUUUUAGGCCAAUUUGCAUAAAAAAUUCAUAAAUUUUGAGCUUUUACAAAACUGGGCCACCUUUUUUGAUUUUACAGAUUCGGUCCGAAUUUUCAACAAACUGACAAAAAUACCUUUAUUACUUUUUCUCUCUCUUCUUUCUCUCUCCUCUUAUUUUCUCUUGUUCAUUUUUUUUCUUUCACCGAAGAAAGCAGCGGAGGCAGAGGCAGAGGCAGAGGCGGAAACGGCCCGCCUCGCCUCUCACCCUCAUGCUCUCGCCCUCGCCCGCGCACCCCCCACCUUCCUCGCCUCCGACCCCACCGUGGCCGCGCCGCAACACUCUUUUUUUUUUUCCUCUCCGACUCUUCUCCACCGUCUCUGACAACGACGCCUCUCUUGCCCUUCCCCGCCCUUCUUGUCCUCCCCUUCUCCCUCCUCCAAAGCCGCCUCCAACGACGACGCAUCUUCGCCGACGACGACACCGUAGAGGUCGCUGCAGCGCUGCAGCCUCAGAGCGGGGGGUUUUUAGCGGCGUCGUCACCGGCGCCGUGGCCGUUGGCAGAGAGGGGUGACUAAAAAAAAUUAUAGAAGAAGCAAGAAAAAAAAAUAAAGAUAAAAAAUUAUAGGAAAAAAGAUAUGAAGAUGAAAUUGCACCGUUAAAAAAAAAAUUGUACUGUUUUAAAAGAACGUUGCACUAUUAUGGACAUAAGUUGUAUUACUUAAGGUGUAAACUGCAGAUCUAAGAUGAAAAUUACACUCUUUAAACGAAAAUUGCACUCUUUGAGAGAUAUUUACACUAUUUUUUUUCUUAUUGCACUCUUUUAGAUAUAAACUGCAUCCAUUAAGAUAAAAAUUACACUCUUUAAAUGAAAGUUGCACUUUUUGAGAGAUAUUUACACUGUUUUCCUCUUCUUACAUCCUUUGAGAUGUAAACUGUAUCUCUUUAAGAGAUAUUUAUACUGUUUCUCUUCUUGUUGCACUGUUUUUCCUCUUGUUGCACUAUUUUUCUUCUUGUUAUACUGUUUCUCCUCUUAAAGGGUGUAGUUUAAGAGAAAAAACAAUGGCCAACUUUUGCAAAAGCGCGAAACUAGUGGAUUUUUUAUGAAAUUGGCCAUUUUUUUAAGAUUUUAAUAUUAAAAAAAAUUAUGACUAGUGAGAAAAACUUUGAACCUUAGAUAGGCAAGUUGAAAGAAAAACUUUAUAAUUUCUCACCAGUCAUAUCACUCUCUUUUGUUUUAAUAUUUAAGGCUAAAAUAUAGAAAAUUCUUCUGUAAAUACUACUUUUUCACUUUUAUUCCUUAACUUUUAAAAACCUAUAUUUUACCCUCUCAAAAUUUUAAAUUGAUACAUUUAGCCCCCCUUCGUUAGUGUUCCGUUACUAUUCUAUCUAUUUCUUAUAAUUUUUACCUAAAAUUUUCUUAAAAUAACAAAAAACAUUAAAAACUAUUUUUUAAAGAACAAGUAAGGACAACAUAAUUCUCUGAAAAUAUUUUCGAAAUUCUAAGAUAUUAAAUGUAGGUUUUUGAAAGUAAAAAAAAAAAAGUGAAAAAAAUAAAUAUUCACACAAAAAUUUUCUAUAUUUUAACCAUAUUAAAAUUCAAAAGGAAUCAUAUAAAUUCUAGGGAUAGCAUUACAACCCUCGAAUUGACAUUGUAAUCCUAUCCAAAAAAUUUUCUAUAUUUUAGCUAUAUUAAAAUUCAAAAAUAAUUAAAAAUAAAUUCUAGGGACAGGAUUACAACUCUUGGAUUUUCAAAAAUCUAAAUCCAAACCCGACUAUAAAAUCCAAAAUUCAAACCCAAACCCGACUCCAACGGAUUUUAAAAAUCCAUUUCCAAACCUAAAUCUGACAAAAAAAAUUCGAAAUCUAAAUUUGAACUCAAAAACCCUAACCCAAAAUAAUUAUUUCUUUUUAUCAUAUUUCAAAACAUAUUACAUUAAAUCUAAAUUUUUAAAUACAAAUUAAAAUAUAAUAUCAAACAUUCACAUAUAUUAUAUAAUGUAAAAUCAAUUUGUGUUUGGAUCGGAUUCGGGUCUGGAAAAGACAAAAUUCAUGUCCGAAUCUAAAUUCAUCGAGAUUUUUUUUUUUAUACCGAUAUCAGAAACUAUAUCCAUUUAGUAUCUGUCUGCCAUCACGAAUGACGUAUCUCGCACGGUCGAUGGGUUUUGCCGUGGGGUUGUAUUCAUGAUUCAGAUUAGUAUUUGUAUCAAGUAUUGCAGGUCCAUGGUUUCCAAUAGAUGUAAGCAUCUAUUGUUAAUUACCCCCGUGGCAUUGGGGCACCUUCGAUUAAGAGACCUUUGUAAAUAUGAGAUUGAAUGAAUCGUAUCUUGGUUUAUUGAAUCCUAAGUAUAUGUAUUGGGAUUCAGUUGGAUUUGAGAUUGACUAGGUCCUAAAUAUAUGUGUUAAGACCUAUUCGAUAUUAAACUCUAUAUAUUAUAGUCUAAUUGGCUCUAAGUAUAUGUCUUAGAGUCCGAUUAUAUUCACCUUGGUUGUAUAUUCCAAGAUGGAGAUGUGACCAUACCCCAAAUAUAUGUAUUGAGGUAGGUCGGAUUUGAUAUUACCCAAAAGUAGAGAGUGGCUUAUUCCUGAAUGUAUGUAUCAGGAAUAGCCGAGUUUAAUAUAUUUUUUACUCUAGUUAUAUGUGCUAAAGUGAGGAUCUGACUAAGCCCGAAGGUAUUGCGUUAGAAUUUGUCGGAUUUGAUUUGCAUGAGCUCUAAGUAUAUGUAUUAGAGCUCAAUCGGCAUAGAUUUCACUCUAGGUAGAUGUGCUAGAGCAAAAUGGCUGACUAGACCCUAAGGGCAUGUUUGUUUGGUGUAAGUGGAGUGAUGGAACUCAAGUUCCAUCACUUCCGUUAUUUGUUUUGGUGUAAGUGAAAAAUAUAAUGUAACUCAAGUUACGUAAGACCUCCACUUUACCUACUCUCGACUUCCUCCUCUAAAGUGCCAAACUCGACUUCCACCACACUCAACCUCCUCUAAAAUAUUUAUUAAACAGUAAAACCUAAACUCUACUUUCCUUAUAAUAGAUUAGAAUUACCUUAUUUAUAAUAAAUUAGGAUUAUCUUUAAAUAAUAAUAAAAAAAUCAAUUAUAUAAUAAGUUAAAUUUUAUAGCGGUAAAUUUACUAUUAUAUUUAGGAGAUAAUGGUAUCCACUUACUUACAUCAAAACAAACAACGGAACUCACAAAACUAAUUUCACCAGCACCAAGUUACAUCAAAACAAACAUAAGAAGUAAUUGAAUUUAACUUUCAGGCUAUACAAGUUACAUCAAAACAAACAACCAAAAAAUAAUCAGACUUCAGGAAAACUCAAACACCACUGCACUUGACUUACGUUGGAUCUACAGAUUCGUCAAUCCAAACAGACCCUUUAAGUGUAUGUGUUAGAACUAGUCGAACUUGAUUUGACUUCCACUCUAGGUAUUAGUGCUAGAGCAAAAGGGUGACUAGACCCUAAGGAUAUGUGUUAGGGUUAGUCAGAUGAACUCUAAGUAUAUGCAUUAAAUUUCGAAUAAAUUUGAUAUCAUUUGACUGAAUUCUAAGUAUAUAACUUAGAACUCUGUCGAUUUGGAGAUAUUUUGCCUUAGUUAUAUGUGUUAAGCCGAUUGACUUAGCCCUAAGUAUAUGUAUUAGGGGUAGUCGAUAUUUAAUUUUUACUCUAGGUAUAUGUGCUAGACUAAAAAAAAAGGUUCAUGAUGAACUUUGGGUAUGAUUUAGUUCAUAUAUGGUUAAUGAGAUUUGGGUAUUGGUUCAUGAGAUUUGGUAUAUGGCACAUUAGGGUUUGGUGCAUGGUUCAUGAGAUUUCGUUCAUGAACUUGGAUAUGAUUCAUGGAUUUGAUGUAUGAAUUUAGUUUAUGGACUUGGUUCAUGAUUCAUGAACUUGGUUCAUUUGGUUCAUAAACUUGGUUUAUGGUUCAUAAGGUUGGGUAUGUAGGAUUUGGUUCAUGAACUUAGAUUUGGUUCAUGGAUUUGGUAUAUGAACUUGGUUUAUGGACUUGGUUCUUGGUUCAUGGUUCAUGAACUUGAUUCAUUUGGUUCAUGAACUUGGUUUAUGGACUUAUUUCAUGGUUCAUGAGCUUGGUUCAUUUGGCUUAUAAACUUGGUUCGUGGUUCAUGAGAUUAGGUAUGUGGGAUUUAGUUCGUGGUUGAGUGCAUGGGUCAUGAACUUGGGUACGGUUCAUAAGAUUUGGUGUAUGGUUCAUAAGCUUUGUUCAUUUGGUUUAUGAACUUGGUGUAUGGAUCAUGAGAUUUGGUGUAUGGUUCAUGAUAUUUGGUGUGGUUCAUGAGAUAUGGUUCAUGGUUCAUAAAAUUUGGUUCAGGAACUUGGUAUAUGGCUCACGAGAUUUGGUUUAUGAUUCAUGAAAUUUGGUUCAUGAAUUUGGUAUUUGGCUCACGAGAUUUGGUUCAUGAUAUUUGGUGUGGCUCAUGAGAUAUGGUUCAUGGUUCAUGAAAUUUGGUUCAUGAAUUUGGUGUAUGAUUUAUGACAUUUGCUCCAUAAUUCAUGAUAUUUAGGUAUGGAAUUUGGUUCAUGAUCCAUGUAAUCUGGUUCAUAAAAUUUGGUUCAUGAGUCCAUAUUUGAGGUAGGGUUUGGGUUUGGUUGGAUUAGGCUUUUAUGAUGGAUUCAAUUGGGUUUGGAUUUUUAUGGUGGACUUGAUCGGAUUUGGGCUUGGAUUUUGGGUUUUUUAUUUGUGGACUUGAUUUGGGUUUUAGGUUUUUAGGUUUUUUAUUUGUGGACUUGGUUCGAGUUUAGGUUUUAUUUGUAGACUUGGUUUGAGUUUUUUAAAUUUUAUUGCAAUUUGAUUUUUUUGGUCUAAAAGGAUUCUCUUUCCAAUUUUAUUGCAAUUCGAUUUUGGGUCCGAAGAAAUCUUCUUUUGAUUUUUGUAAUUUGAUUUGGGAUCCGAAGAAAUCCCCUUUUAAUUUUUAUUGCAAUUUUGAUUUGGGAUCCGAAGAAAUUCUCUUUUGAUUUUUAUUGCAAUUUUGAUUUGGAGUCCGAAGAAAUUCUCUUUUGAUUUUGUAAUUCAAUUUGGGGUCCGAAAAAAUUCCCUUUUGAUUUUGUAAUUUGAUUUGGGGUCCGAAGAAAUUUUCUUUUGAUUUGGCAGUUCGAUUUGUCUAUUCGGCCGGCGAAUUUAGUUCGAUAUUUUCAAAAGAGAUUGAAGGGUCCGAAGAAACGGAGAAUCUUUGAUUCCCCCCCUCUUUUUUCGAAAACACCGAACCGGCGAGGCUGGAGAUGACGGCGGUGAAGAUGAUGACGGUGGCGCGGAUCUGUUCGGCCGGCGAAUUUGGUUCGAUAUUUUUAAAAGAGAUUGAAGUGUCCGAAAAAACAGGAAAUCUUUGAUUCCCCUCACCUCUUCUUUCGAAAACACCAAAUUGGCAAGGCUGGAUAUGAUCACGGCAAUAUAGAUCACCCAUUCCAUCAAUUAACGGCUUCGAAUGGAGUAUCGAGAGAUUCGAAGAAACGGAAAGCCAUUGGCUCCCCUCCACUCUCCCAUCAAAGUCGUUUAGAUGGUAUGGAUGACUACGGUAGCAGGACCUAAACAAAAAAGAAAAAGGGAGAAAAAAAGAGAUUUUUUUUAUUUUUUGAUAUAUUUUAUUAUUAUUAUUAUUAUUAUUAUUAUUAUUAUUAUUAUUAUUUAUCUUUACCUGAUGAUCAGAUGACGGGCUGGAUGAAGCGGCACGACGGUGCGGCUCCGUAUCGCUAUCGUCUCUCUGUAUCUAUUUUUCUCUAUCUAUUUGUUCUCUCCUCUAUGUAUCCCCUUCCUCUUUUUUUAUUCUCAUAUUUAUAAUAGAAGGGGAGAUCUGAGGAAUCGGAGCGAUUCAUGGGUUAGGCGAGAGAUAUUUUGAGGAGUUGAUUAGGAAUUCGAAAUUCGAAAUUGAAUUUUGAAUCGAUUGUUGGAGGGAUAAAUAUUUGAAAUUCGAAUGAAUAUGGUUGAUUGGGAGAUAUUUUGAGAGUUGGUUGGAGGGAUAGAUAUUUGAAAUUAGAAUGAAUGUGGUUGGUUGGGAGAUAUUUUGGGAGUUGGUUGGUUAGUUGGGAGAUAUUUUGGAAAUUGGUUGUGAUUGGUUGAAAGCUAUUUUGGGAGUUAGUUGUGAUUAGUUAGGAGAUAUUUUGGGAGUUGGUUGUGUUUUAUUAAGAGAUUUUUUGGGUGUUGGUUGAGAAUUUGAAAUCGAAUUUCGAAUAGGAUUGUCAGGAUAAUAGAUAUUUUCUAGGGUGUGGAUAUAGGUCGUCAUUGAUUGAGCCCACUUUAAUAAAAUUUGUUGAGCACAAAUAAUAAUAUUCAUUGGGCUGAAAUGAGACCCGAAUUAUUGCAUAGGCUUAAAAUUUUAACGGGCCUUCAUGAGACCCACCAACUCGCAUUCAUGAAUGGAUCUAUUGCGAAUUUAAAUUAUGAUUAUUGCCCCCAAAAUUUUAUGAUCAACAUGAAACCUAUUAGAAUUGUAUGAAUCCGAAUUUAAUCGAUUUUAAUUAUGAUUAGGGUUACUUUACUCCUUUUUCUUUUCUUUUCUUUUUUUUUACUUCAAACAGUAUCAAAUAAAUCCGUCCCAUUCAUGUUCGGAUUUGGAUUCAAUUAAAAUUUCGAGUAUCCGUACCCAUUGACAUUUCUAUCCAAGAAUGCCAUUCAUGAUUUUUAGUAGAAUAGUAUAUUUUAUUUACUAUAUGAUUUAUUUUAUUUUAAAAAAUUGAGGUGAAGGCUAAAUAUUUAAUUCAAAACAAAUAAUCACAGUUCUCAUAUAUUAAUAUUAUAAAAUUUUUAAGUAAAGUAACAAAAUAUUUAUUUUUUAGCAUAGUGUUGGAUUUGUUGUAAUUUGUUCUCUUUUUUUCCGGGAAUAUAAAUUAAAGAAAAUUAAUAAUAAUUAGCUUGAAAUGUAAGGAGACCCCCUCAACAAAAGGUUAUUUUGAAGUCACUCCUAAAACUACAAUUGUUUUGAUCGGCUACCAUAACUUUUUUAUUUUUAAGAAACGAGUAAUUUUAGUCAAAUAAAUUAAAAAUUUUAUCAAAUCCAUCGAUGACUCUUUCUAAUUAAUAGUUUUGAUUGCAUUUUCGCAAAUAAAGCUGAAACAAUUAAUAGCUAAUAUGUAAUAGAGCUAUAAAAUUUAAUUUUUUAAACUUGCAUAAGUAUAAUUCAAUUUUUUUUAAAAAAAAUUAGAAACAAAGCAAUGUCAAUAAAAAAUAAAGUUAAGGGGCAUUUCUUUCUGUAAAUUUUGAAAUUAUUAUAAAUAUAAUUUCCAAACUUUAAAAUUGCAAAUGGAGAUAGAAACUAAUCUUUGGAGAAGUUAAAUGACCAAUUUACCCUUGUAAAAGUCUCCUCCAAAAAUUUCAUGCGCUUAUACUUAAGAAAAAAAAUGUAUCGAGACCCCUCAACUAUAGCGAUUUUUGGAAUGGCACCUAGCAACUUCAAUAUUUUUUAGGGAUUAAAUGCAUACUGAUUCCUGCAAAUAUAGUGAAUUGCAAAUAUAUACAUAUAAAGUUCAAUUUUCAUAUGUUGUCCCUUCAAAAGUUCUAAUAUUUUUAAAUAUGUCCCUCUAAUACGUUACUGUUAAAAAAUCGUUAAAGAACUGUUUAUAUUUUCAAUUUUGACAUCAUAAUAUGUCACUCUAAAAGUCACAAUAAUAUAAUAUAAGAGGGAUAAAAAUAUCAAAAACUAAUCAGGAUUAAGUAUGUAAUACAACGGUAAAGAUAUAUUUGAAAACAUUAAAAGACUAUUAUACGGACAAUAUAUAAAAAUUAAACUUUAUAUGGAUAUUUUUAUAAUUUACUAUAUAUAUAGGGACCUACAUGCAAUUAACCUUAUUUUUAAUCGACACUCUUUUAACUUUUAAGUUUUACAAUGAACUAGUCUUUUUUUUUUUUCUGUUAAAAAGUUUGUUUAACUUUACUAACUUUUCAGCUGUUAACAUUUAAUUAUUUUAAUUCCAUUGGGUAAGAAUAAUAAAAUUAUUAAAUUUGGUAAAUUUAUUGAUGGACUUGAUAAACAAGCCAAUUUAUUUGACUAAAAUUAUUAAUUUUUAAAAAAUAAUAGUUAAAAGGUUUUAAUAAAAAAAAAAGUUAGAGUUAAGGGGCUAUUUCAAAAUAAAUAGAUGGUAGCAUUUUCCCUCAGAAAAAAAAUGUAUGGAACUUUUUUGAACUAUGAAUUAUUUUAAUUUGACUAUUUAAUUUUUUAAAAAUUUUGAUUUUACUAUUCAAUCUUUCAAUUUUUCGGAUUUGAGUCCAUUAACGACACUUUAACUUCAAAAUUUAAAUGUAUCGUUUUUUUUUACAGAUUUAGUUAGUAUAUUUCAUGCAAUUCUCGGACUAUAAAUUAAUUAAAAUAAGUAAUUAAUUUAAAUUUUAAAGUAAAAGUACCCUUACUAACUCAAAUCAAAUAAAUUGAAUGGUUGGAUAGUAAAAUUAAAAAUUUUAAAGAUUAGAUAAGUAAUGUAUGAUUUUACUUUUUUAUUUUUGUAUUAUUUUUAAAAAUGUUUCGAGACCUUUCGAAUUUUAGCACUUUUGCAAACAUGUCUCCAAAUUUUUAUAUUGGUGACUAGAAUUUCUAAACGUUAUAGUGGGAGAUAGGAUUAGGCUGUUUCAUGGUCGAAGUGGUGUGAGGUUGGUUGAGCUAAACUUUAACACUUUCGUGGCGGUAGGCCAGGUUAGGCAGAUUCAUGUUUGAAGUGGCGUGAGACUGUUUGGACCGAGUGUGUCUGUAUACUUAAAGGGAAUUGGCUGGUUAUUUUCAAUAGUUCGAGCUUUUGAAAUUGAUAGUUUAUGCCAACGAUCUGACACUUUUUAAGUACUGCAAAUUAUUCACCACUUUAUUUAAAAUAUUAUAACUGUUUGAGGUGCUCAUAAAAGCAGUGGACUGUUUACCAUAUUUAUCGGAUUCAAACUUAGAAUAUAGAUACUUAUGUGAAUACGAUUAAUAUUUUACCGCUUUCGAAUCUAAUAUGUUUAAGCCGACGCAACACAAAUGGAUCUAAUAUAAGUAAAGCUGCAGAGAUAAGUGGGCCUAAUUUUAGAAAUAAAAAUAUCAUAGGCUCAUAUUUAGCCUAUUGAUAAUUAAAAAUCUCUAAUGAUCUAACUGACACUAUUAGAUAAAAUAAAAUUGAGAUAAAAAUAUAUAUGAAUAUGCUUUUGUAUUUUCUGGUGGAACUGUAACAAAUAUAUUAUAACCGACUUAUCGUGAUAAUAUUACGUACGAAAAUAAACAGAAUAUUUGUCCAUCAUACUUUCUCACGGUAUGUAACGCAAUCUUCCUGCAAUUCCAAACGAAGCAUUGCUUACCAAAAGUUCCCAUUUUAGAGGGCCUUUCAAUGUAAUUAGUCGAUUAUUCAUGGACUUGGUCGCAAAUAAAUACACACUUUUGCCCGUUGGAGGGCUAGUGAAAGAGGGGCGCUCCCUCCGAGCCCAAGUCCACACCUCGCCCCCGCCGCCGCCGACGCCGACGACGCCGCCGCCGCUCCGCCGCCGCAAAUGGCUUCGCUUCUCCACCUCCCCGCCGACGACUCCGUCCUCCUCGUCGUCACCCAUUCCAACAUCAAGAGCUUCUCGCCCGAGAUCCGCUUCUCGCUCCAAGUACUACUCUCUAUAUCUCUCUAGAUCUCUCCUGAAUCUCAUCGAUCGGUUCCUUAAUGGCGGCGAUCCCGAUCGCAGAUGAGCGUGGAGGCGGUGAAGGAGAAGCUGUGGAGGAAGUGCGGGACCGCCGUGGAAUCCAUGCUCCUCGAGCUCCACGACGACGCAGGAUCCAAAAUCGCCGACCUGAGCGAUAAUCUGAGGCCGCUAGGGUUCUACUCCCCGCAGGAUCGGUUCGUCUCCUCCCCUCUUCUCGCGAGAUAUGUGUGCUUGAUCGAUUCCCUCUUGUUUGAUUUGUUAGGGUUUCUUUUUGGUAGAAAUAUCAAGAACUUGUAUAAACUAUGAUCUAUUUUGAUCUGGAGAUCUAACUUUUGAAAGUUUUGAUUUUUGCUGCCUAACAUUCAAUUCAUUUGAUUUGUUUGAUGACACUUGCACUUCAGAAUUUGAUUCCCGUUUGUUUUAAUGGGCUUGAUUAGAGCAUCUAGUGCUAUACACCUGACUACAUUCCCAAUAAAGCAAAAAAAAAGGGCAUCCAAAUUUAGUAACAAAGAGUCGUUGAACGAUUCAAAUCAAACAAAUUGAAAAAUUAGGUAGUCAGGUUAAAAUGCGUUAUAAUUCAGGUAAGUUUCAUUUUUACACUCUUUUUACCACAUAUAUGCAUGGUUGUUGUGUUCUUUUAUGCAAAUGUAUAUUGGCUAAUGUAGAUUGUCUUGAACUCGUUCGCCACGUUGUGGGAUUGGGACUUUAGAAAAAUAGCCUGCACAUAUAUCUUUCAAAUCAAGUAGGGUUGUAAUUAAGUUAGUACAGGAAGAGAAUUUGAAAAGUGGAAACAAUAUUAAAGAUUAAAGAGCUGCGGAAAGUUGGUAGAUGAGGAUAUGCACCGGCAAUUUUACUGACUUGGGAAAAAUUAUUUUCUGUUGCUAAAACAUUAGUACGAUUCUUUGAUGGGCUUUAGAAGUAAUAGAAUCACUCAAGUAAAUUGCUAUCUGUAAUAAAAGGUAGAAAAGCAUGGACCUUACCUAAUACUAGGCCAUAUAUUUUAUUUUCGCCGCAUUUACUGUUGCAGUUUAAUUCUCUUUUUUUUUUUUUCCACUUGAUUGGAUUUUUCUUAUAUAAUCCGAAGGUACCGGCUGCAUAUUAUAGAUCUGGAUCCUUCAUCUGUGACCUCUGGCGGCUGGUUAGAAGACACAUCACUCGUCGAAAAAUAUACAAUAUCAGAGGAAGCAUACAGUAAACUUGAUUGUAAGUUUCUCAACCAUAUUUUUGUGCACUAGUCAUUAUUAGUGAUCGAUUGAGGCCUGUAUACUGUCUCUGCUUCGAAUUGAAGAGGGCAGCGGGUGUUGGUAUUUCUAGUCAAUUUCUAUAAUUUCCCUGAAUAUGGAUAACCAUCCUUUCUUUUCCUGUAAACUUCUUCCAUCUUUGACAAUAGUGACAUGUUCAUGUUUGUGUGUGUGUGUGUGUGUGUGUGUGUGUGUGUGUGUGUGUGUGUGUUCAUUUUCCAGCAAAUUUCCGGAAAUUUAAGGAGAAGAUGAUUUCUCAGAAUCCUACCCAUGACAAAAAGGUAAGCAUGGGUGGCACUUAGGUGUUUUUACUUUAUAGUAGUGUAGGUUUCAAUGCUGAUUGUAGAGUAGGUAACAUGCUAGCUAUUAUUGUCCUGUUCGGUCCUUGAUCUAAUCACACUUAACACCAGUUUCUAGAGACUUAUGGUUUAUUCUAGCUGUUUUCCCUUUUUGGUCUUCUCCAUUGCACAUCAUGGAGGUCUGGAUCUCCCCGUCCCCUCUCUCUGUGUGUGCACAUGCGCCCGCAUACAUGGGCACAUAUGUGCAUGUUAUGUUAGGGCACCCUACAGCUGACAAAAGUUCAUUUUUGUCACUUGAACUUGUUUAUGAGCCACUGAUUUAUUAGCUAUGGGCAUGUACCUUUGAGCAAACUGUCUUUUGGGAGCUUCCUAUAAAAUUAACAAGGGGUUGGAUGCCCUUCAUCUAACUUGAGCUUCCAGUGCAAAGAAGAAAAAGAUCUUAAACCAAGAAAAGGUACCACUAAAUAAACAGUAGGGGCUGUAAGACCUCAUGUAAAGCCCUUCUUACAAGAUCUUCUCUAAGUUGCUCCUCAUAGAAUUUUCACACGAUGCCUAUUGCUAACUGUAAUAUUUUUGUCCUUCAGCUGGCAGACAACUACAUGGAAGAGUUGUGUGCCAAUAUCAAGGUUAGUAUAUAAUUUUUGUUUCUUCGGCUGUAUCAAUUUUGCAGACAAACAAAAGCUCCUCAAUGUUCUUCUUUUUUCCCAUUUCCAUGGCUCUAACUGCAUCCGAGGUGUUGCACAUUCAAGCGUCAUAGAGUUUACCCUAUGAUGGAUUUGUUUUUUCUGAGUAUAUUGAGUUACCUUUCCAUAGAAGAGUAAUACUUCUCUUUUUGAAAUUUAAUGUGAGCAAACAUUUUGCAUGUGAUAGAAUAGGGAGUAUGUUCCUUCUUCUCUAUACAUAUUAGCUUUACUUCUCCUUUAUGUUUUUACAAGAAAAUGUUUUUUUUGCUAAGAUAUUUCCUGAUUUAGGUGGGUGAUAGAUGUGAAGUUGAACCAGGUGCAAAGAGGGGAGUUGUCAAGUUUGUUGGAAAAGCAGAGGCACUAGGACCUGGAUUUUGGGUUGGUAUUCAGUACGACGAGCCUCUGGGAAAGCAUGAUGGCAUGUAUGUGGCUUACGCUGUGUCGAAGCAUUGUUAUGUUUCAUUGUUGCAUGUUUUCACCUAGGAUACAUAGUGCAAAGUGAAAAAUGAUGGCAAUUUAAGGUCUUCCUAUUAUGAUAUGGAAUUAGGAAAGAAGAUGAACUUUCUUUUCUGAUGAAAAUAUAACUAGUUUAGACUGUAGUCUGACUGUUUCCAUGUUCAAGUACUCUCUUCUUAUUAGACAUACUAAAGCUGCAAGUCCUACUACUAUAAUAAUUGCAACUGCCUCUAACAUGAAUAAGAAAAAUAAAAACCCUCUCGUAGGUUUCGAUGAAACUAUUCUUUCACAGUCAUUUAUAGAGUUGUUAUAUAAUUGUCUUGGUUUCUAAAUUUCUAAUUUGACAUGUACAAGUUUAAAAUUUGAUCUACCUUUUCCUGAAUCUUGCUUAUGUAGAUAUUCUGUGCCGUUUGGUUGAUUGCAUGUAGCUGACACACGAACUCAUGUAGAUUUGCAAUAGUCCAACUUGGUACCUUUUACGUGAAUAAAAUGUUAUAGUCAUAGUUCUAUGUGAUUAAUAGAUAGUAUCACUAGUCCAACUAUAUUCUCCAUCAACUUAUGUUAACCUGUGUUAUUACUAGCUCUAAAGAAUAUUUAUCUCACUCAAACCCGAGGGAAGAAGGGGAGAAAAAAAAAAACUCAAGUCGUAAUUUCUUACUUGUUGCGUUUCAUUUUCACUCUCUUGCAUUUGGUAACCCAUGAUUGUAGUUUUCUCUACUUUUUAUGUUUUAUUUUCUCUAAAUGUGUGUAUAUAUAUUUUUUCAAUCAUGAGCCAGAAUAUAAUUCCGAAUACUCAGUUUCUCUCUUAGAGAAACAUAUCUCAUCCUCCUUGUUUAGAUCUUGUGUCUAUUUCAAGCUUUUUUGGUGAGAUAACUAAAUAAUCUCAAUACCUUGUGAUGGAUGUUAACAUCGUCUUAUUGUAAGAAUGGACUCUACCUAUCUUCCACUCAGCCUUUACGAAUGCCACAAACAAAUUAAACCCCGCUUACUCCUGUCAUUUCUAGUAAUCUUUCUGAAUAUCCUACACUUCUUGAUAUUUUUGCUGCACCUUCUGAGCACUCUCUGUUGCACUAGAUUCAAUUUUAACAAGAUGGUCCUGAAUAUAUAAUUAUCGAAAGACUCUAUUCUUUACCUUUUAUUAGUAUUAUUUAGCUAAUAUUCUUUUUUGGUUUUCCGUAGGGUGAAAGGUAUUCGCUUUUUUGAAUGCCCACCGGGACAUGGCGCUGUCGUUAGGCCCGACAAAGUCAAGGUAUCAUGACUAUUCGACAAUGCAUACUUUAGUUGCCGAUUAUGUUUCGGAGCUUUACAUUUUGACACAAAACAUACUGUAAUUAGGUUGUUGAAAUAGGUUUUACUCUUUAAAUUAAUUUAGUAUCGAAUAAAUUGAAAUUAAAAUGGAAGUGUGGAAUCUACUUCUGACAAGUAUUUCAUCUGCAGGUUGGGGACUUUCCUGAGAGAGACCCAUUUGAAGAGGAAGAAGAGAUAUAACAAAUAUUGAAGUGUACAUAAGAUAAUUUUCUUCUUGCUGACAUUAAUGCAAAUUUCUGUGCUUUGUUUUGCAUUUACGAUCCUUUUUCUGAUUCGAAUUGUACUUCCAUUUUGUUGUAACCAAAUAUGAUCGACUUGCGCUGGAUUCGAAGAACUGCUUUGUAAUUUUAAACUAUUUAUCGGUUCUUGUUUUGAAUCUUAUGUAGUCACAUUUAAACUGGUCAUAGUUCAGAUACGUUUCAUAAGUUUUUGGGCAAUGCUACUAUGAACUAUUUUGAAUCGAUUAUUUAAUUUUUUGAAAUUUUGAUUUUUUAAAUUUGUUUGAUCUGAGUCGGUCAACGGUGCUUUUAUUUCAAAAUUUAAACAAAUUAUUUCUGUUGAUAAAUUGUAAGUAGUAUACCAACUAAAUCUAUAAAGAUAAACGAUAUAUUCAAAUUUGAAAGUUAAGAUUUAGUGAUUGACUCAAAUUUGAAAUUUGGGGAAUUUGGAUUGCGAAAUCAAAAUAGUCCGUGAUUUAGGUGAAGUUUUGUAAUGAGGGGAAAAAAAAACUUUAAUUUGCCCUGCAUUAUUUACUGUGUUGUUACUUCACUACAUUCCAGGUUAAACAGUUUUACUUUGUUGUCCUAUAAUUUUCUCUUUGUAUUACUAAGAUAGUAUAUUGAAACUAAAAUUUAUAAACAGGACUAAAAUUAAAUUAUAAUGUUUCUAAACAGGAUUAAAAUUAAUUUUAAAGCUAAAAUCUGUAAACGAGACUCAAAUUAAAUUAAAAAGGAAACAGGAUUAAAAUUCAAUAAUAAAGUUAAAAAUCAUAAACAGGAUUAAAAUUAAGGGUAACUUCAAAUACCAAUCAUGUGGUUUCACGCUUUCUCGCUUUAAUAUCCUGUGGUUUAAAGUGUAUCAAUUUAGUAAUAUGUGAUUUUAUUAUUUUUUUUUUGUCAGCUCUUUCGUUAACACUUCAUUAGAUUAUAUACAAAAAACUUCAAAUAUCUCAUCUAGAUUUCUCGAGUAUUUACUUGAGUACCUUUUAGUUUUAACUUUAUCACAAUUUUAAGAAAAAAAAAAUAGUAGAGGGGAUAAUAAAAAGAGAAAAAUAAAAUCAUGAGGUACUAAAUUGAUACAUUUUAAACCACAUGGUACUAAAAUAAAAAAGAACAAAACCACAGGGAUGGUAUUUGAAGUUUUUUCUAAAAUUAAUUAGAAAGGUAAAAUUUAUUAACAGGAUUAAAUUUAAAUUAAACAAGGAAACACUAAAUUUUACCUUGCGUUCUUAAGAUAGGAUACUAAAAUACUAAAAUUUAUAAACAGGAUUAAAAUUAAUUGUAAAGUUAAAAUUUAUUAACAGGACUAAAUUUAAAUUAAACAAGGAAACACUAAAGUUAAAACUUUCAUUGUGUUGCUAAGAUCGGAUACUAAAAUACUAAAAUUUAUAAACAGGAUUAAUGUUAAAUCAUAAAGUUAAAAUCCAUAAAGAGGAUUAAAAUUAAUUAUAAAGCUAAAAUUAAUUAAUAAGACUAAAUUUAAAUUAAAAAUAGAAACGAGCUCUUAUCAUAAAGUUAAAAAUCCAUAAACAGGAUUAAAAUUAAUUAUAAAGCUAAAAUAAUUAAUUAAUAGGACUAAAUUUAAAUUAAAAAUCACUAAAAUUUAUUAAUAGGAAUAGAUUUAAAUUAAAAAUAGAAACACGCCCGGUGGGACUCGAACCCACAAUCGCCUGAUUAGAAGUCAGACGCCUUAUCCAUUAGGCCACGGGCGCUCUUCGGAUUAAAAAUUAUAACAAAAUAUAUUUAUAUGUUAUUAAAUUAAAAUGUCAUUUAUUAAUAAAAUUGAAUAUAACCUACAAUGAUGUAGAUAAUAAUUAAGACUAAAAAAUAUAUGUUAGAGCAUCAAUAUUUAUGUAAUUUCAGUAUUGAUAAAUGAUGAUGAUCAUUAUAUAUGAUUCAACCGCGUAGUAACAUUUGAAUGUAAUGGCAAUUUAACAAUUUUAGCGUGGAAUUUAUGGGGAUAAUUUCCGCGUAUGAUUAAUUUAAAAGUCCCCCCCCCCCCUUUCUUUUUAUGUAAUAUUUAAAAGAUUCGUUGGUGUUGCAUUCAAUCAUGUGAAUGAAGGAACGCAUAAUAACAAGUAUGACUUCUUUAUAAUAAAAGUUAUAAUAAUAUUUGUGGCUAAGUGGAGUUUGUCAUUAUUAUUUUUAUAGCAAAUUUAACUAUCUGCCUUUCUUUUUUAUUUUAAUGGGGCUUCAUUUGUGUUUUAGAAAUGAACCCAGAACUUAGAAUUUUAGAUACUAAUCAUCAAAUUUUUAAACAAGUGCGUUAGGUACCGUUAGUAAAUGAAUUUGAUUGUCAACUAAAGUGGAGGUGAGAAUGUCAGAUUGAAUAACACAUAUUAGGAUUUCAAAAAAUAUAGAAUCUAAAUUUACUAUAAAUAAAAGUAUGUUUUUUUAAAAAAAAGCGGAUUGGUUGAUAUGGUAUAUUUUAUCAUUUCUCACCUAUUAAAUUUAAAUGUAAUUCUAAUCAGACCUUGAUAGUAAAUCGAUCUGAAUUCUAAAUAAAGAGAUAUUAGUCCCGCCAUCUUCUCAUAAUCUGAUAUAAUCUCUCCAUCAUAUAUUUUUCAGUUAGAAUUUGUUUGACCCUACUUUUUCAAGUGCAUGUUUUGAAGCAAGACAAGUAAUUAAGCUUGUUUUAAUAGGUUUCUGGAAGCUACUUUGCAGAGCUCAAGCUUCCUGCAAAAGCUCCCCCCAGUGCUAAAUUGGGCAGUCGGGCACAACUCACAAGUGCUGCUAAACAUGGUAUCGGCCACAUAAUUUGGCCUAGUACAUAUUUCAGAAAACAGAAGCUUUAAAUCUGAACUUUAACUUCUACAUUUUCAUAUUUAUAAUUAAAUUUUAUAUAUAUAUAUAUAUAUAGGUAGUUUAUAGUAGUAGGUAACGUAUUAGUAUAAUAUAUAUAUAGCAGGGUUUUACUAGUUAAGCCAGCAGCAUCCUUAUGCUUCCUAAUUUUUCUAAUACCCAGCAAAUUUUGAUAGAUGGUUAAAUGGAGCAGGAGAGGGAGAGAUGGAGGGAGAUAUGGGAGAAUUUGAAUGGUUUCAAUUUCUUUUCUCCUUGGGAAUUUAGAUCCAAUAUCUCCUCCUUCUCUCAUUCUAAUUCCACCCAUCAAACCUUAAUGAAUGCGUUAGAAAAUUUAGGAGCAUAAGCGCCUCGCCAUCUCCUAAUCAGGCACAAUAGCCCCUACUUUUAUCAUAUAUAGAGAUAUAGUAUAUAUACUGCUACUAGCUGAUCAGAUAGUUACCAAACCUUGUACUAUUGAUUUUCGGCCGUUGGAUGAAAUGCAUGUGCGGUUUAGGAUGAUAGUGGUCCCUAGUUAAAGAGUUGAUAGGUGGCUCCCCCGUAGGGUUGAGGUGGGUGUUUGUUUAAUCAGGUACUAAUCUAACGGGUGGAAAUAAUCAAAGGGUAGACUCUAACGGAUAGAAACUCAAUAAGUACCAAAGGGGCGGUUGGUACUAUCGAUUAAGUAUAGGUAAGGGACUAUAUUAUAUAUAUAUAUAGAUUCAGCUGAAAAUAACUCUUGUGAAUAGUAAAACGCUGCUUUUUGCUUGGCUAUAGUUUUUACCUUGAUGGAAAAAUUGUGCUAGGGGUUAAGGAAUAAAUAUUAGUCGGUUAAGGGAGGUCUGAGUGGGAGCAACUAGGCGUUAUGGAAGUGCGUCAAUGAACCCACUGGGUGGUAUAGAUAUUCUAUCCAAUGCAUUAGAAACAAUUAAAAAGAGCUUGAUCCAGAAGGUAAAAAAAUUGUAGCCAACAGUGAGGAUUUUUGGCUACUAAUAGUAGCCCAGUCCACAGUCUCUCUCGUCUCUCUCUCUCUCUCUCUCUCUCUCUCUCUCGUCUAUUAUAAUGGUAUAUAAGUAGUAGACUAAUAAUUAUAUAUAUAGUAAUUAUAUAAUAUUAUCGCGUAGUAACAAGUCGUUCUUACUACCAGAUUUUGUUUUUCGAGGAUAGAGGGGCUUGCUAAAUUGACGAUUCGGCUUCCGUUAAAUAAUGAUCUAAACCAUUUAAACAAAUACCUAGAAAUCAAAUAUUCACGCACUUGAUCAGAUAUUGUUCUUUAUUCCAAUCAACGUGAAUAAAAAAACGAUGGAAAUGGCCUGAAAAGAUAAAUACUCUUAUAAAAAGUAAAAAAUGAUGAGUAGAGAGUCUUGCAAUCAAGAUCAAGAAGUAUAGAAUCUUAAGUUUAAAAGAAUAUUUCUAAACAAAAAUAUCAAUUGAUUCUGGUAUACUUUACAGCAACUACAAACAAAAUGGUCAUAUUAGCGACACUUUGUGAAUAUAGGUACAUGCAAAAAAAGUGACUUAGGCUAAAAUUACCGACACUUUUAAAAAGUGUUACUGAUAUGGUUGGGCGAUCCUAGGGAGGUAUAUAGUGCAGUUACUAGAGCGUCGCUAUAAGCUAAAAGAGUGCUAGGCCUAAUUUGACGCAACACUUAUUAAGCAUUUAGCAACCGCCGAACUCAUAUCUCGAUUGGAUACGGUGGCGCGCGCAGGGAAGAGCGACGACACCAGAAAGGCCUCGUGUAAACGUCUAGAAUUUCAGUGAAGUAGAGCCUGAAGAGAGAAGAAAGAAUGGGUAAAUUGAUUUUUCUGUUUUUUUUUUUCUCUUUUCUCUUUAAAGAUAAUCGGAACCAAAUUGUUGACUCGGUUGUGUGCGUUGAGUUGAGUAGAGGUAAUCUUUUAUUUUUAGUUGGAUUGGGCUUUUAUUUAGGCAUUGUAGAUAUUUUUUUAAGUUUUAGGAUAAAUGGGCACGUUACUCAAAAAGCUGUCCGCAAACAUGGUUGCUCCCUAUAACCUAAUUCUGUUGUAGGGACGCCGGGUUGGGCAGUUAACAAAGAAAACGGCCUCUUACGACUAUUAAAAUUCAAUUUUUGAAACCUUUGAUCAUUAGGCAAUGGAUUGUCGGAAAGAUUAAAAUUUGAUUCUUUUCAAACACUUCAAGUGUCAUUAGAUCAUGUUCAACGGACCGAUCGUCAAUUUGGACAGCCCUAUCAUCGAAAACAAAUCGGUUAGUAAUGAACGCGUUCGUUUACUAGCCGAUUGUAUUCUAGUCAGAGUUGAGCUAGGAAUACUAUCGCGUAGUAACGGAGCCGUUUACCUCACCGAUUUGCUUCGAUGAUAGAGCUUCCAAAUUGACGAUCGGCUCCGUUAAAUAUGAUCUAAACUAUUUAAACUACCUAGAAAUUAAAUUUCACGCACUUUUGAUAUUGUUCUUUUAUUCAUCAAGUGAACAAAAAAAUGAAUGGCUGAAAAUAAAUACUCUUUAAAAAAUGAUGAUAGGAGUCUUGCAAUCAAGAUCAAGAGUAUAGAUCUUAAGUUUAAAAAAUUUUCUAAUAAAAAUUCAAUUGAUUUGGAUAUCUUUACGCCGUUAAACAAGAAAACGCCUCUUAUCGACUAUUAAAAUUACAAAUUUUGAAACCCUUUGAUCAUUAGGCAAAUGAUGUCGAAAAGAUUUAAAAUUUGAUUUCUAAACACUUCAAGUGGUAUAGAUCAUGUUCAACGGAGCCGAUUGUCAAUUUGAAAGUUCUAUCAUCAAAAACAAAUCGGUAGUAAAACGACUCGUUUACUACCGAUAGUAUUCUAGCUCAACUAUAUAUAUAUAUAAUAGCAAAAUAUGCUAAAAAUAUAUAUAUUCAUAAUAGCAAAAUAUGCUAAAAAUAUGCUAAACUUUUCAUUAUUGAAUUUCAAGAUUUUAGUUUUUUCUCAAGCGUUUUUUUUAUUCUUUUUCUACCCAAUUUACCAACCAACACAACAAAGCCAAUAAACAUAAAUAAAUAAAUAAAAGCAUCAUUAAUUUCAUCAUUGCCAUAACUAACAAUAUUAAUUAUUACUCAUAACCAUAUCAUGAUAUAGUAAUAUAAUAAUAAUAAUAAUAAUUGAACCUCAAAAGGAACUCAACCAGAGAUCACACAACAAACACUCUCCAAUUCUCCACCAUCGAUCUCAAUUAGAACCCCCCUCAACAAAAAGGAGAAAAGCAUAAAACAAAAACCAAAAAAAAAAAAGAGAAAAAAACAAAUGAAAAACUAAAACAUGCAUAUAUGCACCAUAUAUCAUCAUCCCCAGGCAACGUUAUACACACGUACGUAUUGUGUGUGUACGCAUGUAUGUAGAUUGAUCAGUACGUACGUACGUAGAAUUGUGAUUAAUGACUAGGCCGUGAGCUCUUCCUCCUUGUGGGUCUCGAUGACGAGGUCGGAGCGGGGGUAGGCGACGCAGGUGAGGACGUAGCCGGCGGCGAUCUGGUCGUCGUCGAGGAAGCUGCCGUCGGACUGGUCGAUCUCGCAGGACGAGCAGGAGCCGGCGCGGCAGGAGUAGGGCAGAUCGAUCCCCUGCUCCUCCACCGUGUCCAGGAUGUACACGUCCUCCGGGCAGCUCACCUCCACCUCCCCCGUCGGCGUUAUCAGCUUCACCUUGUACGCCAUCGCCGUCAUCCGUCCCCCCCGCCGCACUCCCACUCCCACUCCCACUCCCGCUCCCGCUCCCGCCCCGCCAAACAGACCGCCGCCACCCCCCGCCCUGCGGGGGAACGCGACGGUACUGCGCGGGGCAAACAAGGGCGUGGCCGUGGGCGGCGACGACAGAGCUGCUAUGGUAGCGGUGGCGGCCGCCAUUGAAUUGUUUAGACUUGGUGGUGGAGAAUGUGGAGGAGUGUGGAGAGGGAGAGAUAAGAGGAGGGCGGGGUAGGAUAUAAGAUGAGGGGGUGGAGGGUGGGGAGGGGUGACACGUGGAGGGAGAUGAGUGGGUGGGUUAUCCUGCGUUAGGGGAUAGGGGGAGUGAGCACGUCCACACGAUGGUUGAUGGGUGGUGAUUAGCGAUUGGUGAUCGGGGGAAGAGGGAGAGAUAGGGGGAGGAGAUCACGUGCAUCUGUUUUGGGUUGGAGGGUGGGAGAUCCGGUUUGAAUUUGUGGUUCGGAUUGAAGCUCAUUUUGUUCUCUCACCCAUUUUAGACUUAAAUAAGUGCUCAAAAGUCGGAAGUACUAGUUUCUUUAUAUUUUCAAUAAUAAAGCAGCUUUAUACACACACACACACGUAUAGAAUUGAGCUCCUAUACUUUUAGGCCAUGUUUGGUAAUAGGAUAAUUUCUUCGGGGUUAAAUUUUUUUAUUCCUAGAAUAUUGAGAUAUUCUAGGAUAGAGAGGAAUGAAAGUAAUUUUUUGUUUGGCAAAAUUUUUACUUAUUCUCUACAAUAGACAAAAUGAUGUUUGGUAACUUUCUUGAAAAAAGAGAAGAAUAAUUAGUAAAAUUGAUUGAAAUAUUUUAAAAUGCCAAGUUUGCCCUUAUAUAUACAGUGAAUUUUUUUCUUUGUAUAAUACAUAUACAAUACUUGAUAAAUUUGAAUAUAAUUUUUUCAAAUAUAAUUACAAUACAAAAAUUAUAAUUAAGAAAUAAUAAUUUUUUUGUGCAGAGCAGUGCAAUAUGCAGUAAGUAAGAUAAUUUUAAAUUAAUUUAUACAAUUAGAAAUCUAUAAUAACCAAUAAUAUAUGCAAUAGUAAUUAAUUUAUUUAACUGUCAAUAAAUUUACAUAGUUAAACAAAAAUCCUAAUAUAAAUUUACAUAGUUAAAUAAAAAUCCUAAUAUAAAUCUUAAUACAUUGAACAAACCAAAUCUCUAUAUGCUCAGAGAAGAUACGAGAGUUUUGAUAAGUGGGUAAAGUGGCGCGGUUUUCAAGGCAACCCAAAAAGAAGGCCGCUGCCUCUCGGGUUUCAGGAAUAAAUCUUAUUCCAUGGUUGGGAAAGAAUUAAAUUAACGGGUUAUUCUACUGAAAAUUGGAAUAGUCCGAUUUGACCAGUAUAAAUUGUUUUGGUACUUUUUUUUCGUUAGGCAGAAUAACGAGAAUAAAUUUGAUUAUUCUGUAGUUAUUCCGUUACCAAACGGAGCCUUUAAAAGCAUAAAGUCAUUGAUGCUUGUCAGUUUACAGCCUUUGGAUGAAGAUUUAUAGGGGUUAGGAUAACAGUGAUGACCUAUAGGGUUGAUAGGUGGCUGGUGGAAUAGCAUAAUCUAAGGAGCGGAGUUGGUCAAAGAAAUAAAUCUAACGGUAGAAAACUUAUAAGUACCAAAAGCUUGGUACUUUUAAAAAUGCCAUAGCUGGACUAUAUAGAGAGAGAGAGGGAGAGAGAGAGAGAGAGAGAGAGAGAGAGAGAGAUAUUAGAUAUUACUGUUUUUAGCAUUUGAAAUGCAAAUGAUGUCUAGGAUCUGGCCCAACUAAGAUUAACUGUAGAGCCCCACUAUCAAACUAGGCUCAUAAAAGUCCAGGCCCUGUUAUUGGCUUUUGUCCAUUCAGAUCCAACAAGGAAAAGCAUGGUCAUUUUGAAGUGGGCCUCAUCCUAGGUCUAAUACAUUUUUAACUUGUCCUAAAAAAACAAUUUUAAAGUGCUAAAUUUUGACCCAACCACAAUUUAAUGGGCUAGAGUAACAACAACACUAUGUAUCAAUUUGUUUCUUUUUUUUCAAAAUAAAAAUAAAAAUUGUUCCACCAAAAUUGUUCGGCUGGAUAAUUUAAAUUAUCGGAGAAGAAAGAAUUUUGAAGUUUAUUGAUUGUAAAGAAAAUUACAAUAGAUGAAAACAAAAGUAAUUUGGUUUGGAUUCUCUGCUUAGACUUGACCUUUCAAAGAACGCUACGUUCGGCCGUUUGGAACAAAUAGAACUAUAAAUCUUUGAGAACUUAUCAAUUCGGUCAAAAAUCUUAAUUAUGAUUGAAACCUUUGAAGAACUUGUCAAAGGAAAGAGUUAAAUCUAUUAACUACUUAAUCUGUUCUCCAACUAAAACUAGCAGAAACUACUGAAUGCUAAAACUACCUACACUCUCUAAACCUCUUUCUCGAACUCUUAAAUUUUUCUUGAAUGAAUGCAUCAAUCAGUAAUUCCUUUUACCCUCUCUCUUUAGGUAUAUAUAGCCUUUAUAAAUCGGACUCCGAGUCCUACAAAAUUUCAGUCAAAUUUUGAAAUCUUACUUUGCAGUUAUCUCUUUAUUUAUGAUGAAUGGCCGAGAUCGCUUGAUGCAAUGGUUUAGAUUUCUUCUUUCUUAUUCAAGUCUAUCUCAUCUUUUUUAAGUAUCAAAGGCUCAGAUCAAAAAUCGGGAAAGAUGUAACUCGUCCUAAACCCGCCCCUAUCCACCAAGCAAAUACAGCGGGAGACGAGAGACCCUUUUCUUUCUUUAAUCCGUCCCGAUCCGUCGAAAGUCUACCAAAAAUCUGCUCCAACCUUGAUUCACCCCGAAUAAAACAGUAAGUGAGAGCCAAAACUAGGAUUAAAAAUAAUUCGCUCAGAAUCUGCUCUGACUCGACAAGAAAUUUAGCAAAAAGUAAUUCAACGAAAAAUCCCUCCUGCACCCAGGAUCUAUCUUGUGCAUCUAACGCUAACAAACAAACUAGAUAUUGAAAAAACAAAGUAUGUAGAGAUAUGUAUUUAUGCUUUGCAAUGGAACCACAAAAAAUAUAUUAUCACCGAUUAAUUGCGAUAUAUGAAACACAAUAUUACUUAUGAAAAUAAAUAAAAAAUUAUUUAUUCAAGUAAAGUAAUCACCUCGUCAUACUAAACAAAGCCUUCUUAUUUCUCUAACAAUAACAAUAAAGAAAAGAAAAAACUUUAAAUAUCACUCCCUAUAUUUUCACGUUUUCUCACUUCAGUACUAUGUGAUUUAAAAUGUAUCUAUCCUAUAAUUUUAUUUUUCUCUUUCCGUUAUUCUCUAUAUUAAUUUUUUCGUUAAAUCAGUGACAAAAUUAAAACCAUAUAAUAUUACAGUACCAAUUCUGUAAACCAAAGAAUAAUAAGGUGAAUAUUUGAUAAAUUAUAGAUAGGGUAUCUGAACGAAAAGUUAACGGANAAAAAAAAAAAAAAAAAAAAAAAAAAAAAAAAAAAAAAAAAAAAAAAAAAAAAAAAAAAAAAAAAAAAAAAAAAAAAAAAAAAAAAAAAAAAAAAAAAAAAAAAAAAAAAAAAAAAAAAAAAAAAAAAAAAAAAAAAAAAAAAAAAAAAAAAAAAAAAAAAAAAAAAAAAAAAAAAAAAAAAAAAAAAAAAAAAAAAAAAAAAAAAAAAAAAAAAAAAAAAAAAAAAAAAAAAAAAAAAAAAAAAAAAAAAAAAAAAAAAAAAAAAAAAAAAAAAAAAAAAAAAAAAAAAAAAAAAAAAAAAAAAAAAAAAAAAAAAAAAAAAAAAAAAAAAAAAAAAAAAAAAAAAAAAAAAAAAAAAAAAAAAAAAAAAAAAAAAAAAAAAAAAAAAAAAAAAAAAAAAAAAAAAAAAAAAAAAAAAAAAAAAAAAAAAAAAAAAAAAAAAAAAAAAAAAAAAAAAAAAAAAAAAAAAAAAAAAAAAAAAAAAAAAAAAACUAUAGAAUACUAAAAUGAUAUAUUUUAAACUAUAAUUUUUUUUUUUUAGAGAAAGAUAGCAUACUAUCUGUUUCGUUUAUUUUUUGUAGAAAUAAACUCAGCUGGAAAUGUGAAUCAACUAGAAAUCGAAUUUGGGAUCUCGGGUACCAACCAUCGAACCUUUUGUCACUUGCGUGAGGAACGGUCGGUUAAAAAGUAUUAAAGUGAAAAAGUGCGAAAUUACAUAGAUGAUAUUUGAAGUUUACCCUAAUAAUAACAAUAAUAAUGAUAAUGAUAAUGAUAAUGAUAAUGGAGAUGAUAUGAUAUUGUUGAGCACGAUUGAGCAGAGAUGAAGCCACACGCGUCCACCAACCCUCGCAAGGUUUGGGGGUUGUCACGUGCGGGGAGCGUGCACACGUGGAGUUUGACCGGCUUCCAUUGUCACAAGGCACGCGUGAAAGGGUGACUCGGUUGCCGGCCGCCCGUAUACGUAGUUCAAUGAAUUUACUUUCUCGCUNUGAAGAGCUAAUAAUAGUAAGCAGGGAAAUUAGGGGUGGAGAAGGGGACGAGGGGGCGGGAGCAGGAGGAGCAGUGGAACCUGCGCUUGGUCCUGAAGCAGAUGGGGAGGAGGAAGCAGAACCUGCAGGCGCUCUCGACGUCGGCGGCGACGACGCCGCCUCCGCAGAACGGGCAGCUCCCCGGCGCCUGCUGCGGCGCCCCCACCACCCUCUCCUCCUCGUCGCACACCAACACCACCGGAAUACACAUCUCCUCCUCCCCCCUCCUCAAUUCCCUCAAUUCCCCCAAUUCCCCUACUACCGCUACUACUAAGAUCUCGAUUUCUCUCUCUCUCUCUCUCUCUCUCUCUCUCUCUCUCUCUCUAUAUAUAUAUAUAUAUACUUUUACGAAGAGGAAGGGGUUUGUUGUUGUUGAGAAGAAUCAGAUGCGCAACGGAGGGAAAGGAAGGUUCUAUAGACUUCUAGGAUCCUCUCUAAUUUCAAACACUAGAAAUUACUGUGAGACAAAAAAAAAAAAAAAAAAAAAAAAAAAAAAAAAAAACUUUAAAAAUAAUUACAAUCAAAUUUCACUAAUCCAAUUUAGUUGAUCACUUGGGCCGUUAGAACGAAACUCAAAAUGCUCCAGUCUUUUAUUUAUCAACAAACGUCACGUCACGUCACGUCUUUUUUUUUUGGAUAAAAUUUUUGAUUCUUCGAAAAUGCUACGCAAGCCCAUCAAACAGCUAAUUGGAUUCUGUCUAGUAAAAAAUAAAUAUACUGUGUGCUUUUUUCUUUUUCUUUUUUUGAGGAAUUCUUUAAUUCUGUAUCGUCUUAUUUUGUUUAAAUAAAUUUUUCGCUCUCGAGCAAUUUUCCUCAAAAAAAAAAAAAAUGACGCGUUCAUGUGAGAUAUUAAUUUUUGACGCAUCAUCAAUCACAAUACUGCUAUGUCACUUCCAUAUUAAUGAUGCAUCAAUAUUUAGUCAAUUGAAUUGGGUUGUAUGAAUUGAUUGUAAUAAUUUUGAAAAUUCAAAAUACAAAUCACAACAAAUUGAAUUUUGAUGAUCAAGGUAUCACCAAUAAAACAAAAAAAAAAGAGACUACUAUUGAUUUGGGAAAAAGAAGUAUUGAUUUUUGACAAAAUUGAAUAAAAAUUUAUCACAAGUAUUUUAUAAUAGUAAAGAUAUUCCUCCCACGGCGAAAAUAUGUUGGAAUGAAAGUACAAUGAAAGAUUUUUUUUUUUUUCUGCUAAUACUAUAGAAAUUAUAUUUUAAUUAACUUAUUACAAUAUGCGUGAUAUAAUAUUAUUUAUGAAAAUAAAUAAAUUACUUCCUAUUGGAACAAUCUUAAUAGUUUNUUUUUUUUUUUUUUUUUUUUUUUUUUUUUUUGCACAUAUACCCUCCAAAAGGUCAGGCUUUUACACUCCAAAAUCUUGUUAUUUAUUUAUAUUUUUGAAGACCCAAUUGCUUACAUAAAUGCACUAUUUCAGCUAGGAUUUUUUUUUUUAUUUUAAUUUUCUUUUGGUGAGGGUGCUUGUAGCCCCACUCCUCCCUCCCAACACAAGAGUCGCACAAAUUUAAUGGCUUAUCCAAAAAAAAAAAAAAAGUGAGAAAAUGAUACACAUUGCAAAUUAUAGAUUAUCCAUUUGAGAUUAUUAUGAUAGUCAAACUCAGAAACACAUAUAUAAUAAUAUGAGAAAAUGAUACACAUUGCAAGUAUAGAUUAUGCAAUGUGAAUUCUUUUUGAAAAAAAUGUAAAUAACCAGAUUGUUUAGCAUGCAUUUUUAUUGCGUGAGCUGAUUGAAGAGAUAAUAAAUCAAAAUUUAAAAAUGAAUGAGAAUGUCAUGUGCAAGCGACCUGAGUCCAUAAUCUUGUGAGAAUCGAGAACCUUUAUCUUUGUUGAUAUGAUAUCCAAUUUUAACACUAAAAUGUGGAUGAAUUUGAGGAUUGUUGGCUUAAAUGAGCCAGCAUUCUGCUCUGUGACAGGAGGCUAAGUAAGCCGAGUCACGUUCGAAUUGGCGUGAGGCUAGAUUGGGCCGAGUCAUGUUAGAAGGGGCGUAAGGCUAGGUGUGCCGAGUUAGAAUCCAGACCCUUGGGCGCUAUAUCUGUACGCUUUAAGUGAAUUAAUUGCGUAUUUCUAACAGCUCGAGCUUUUGGGAUUAAUAGUUAGCACCAACGAUCCGACAAGUGGUAUCAGAGCCAGAGUUCACGAGUUUGAUUCCCGCAUGCUGCGAAUUUGUGUAGGUACUGGAGGGGGGAUUGUCAGCUUAAAUGGGUCAGAGCCAGAGAUCACGACUUCAAUAAAAUUAAUGCUGCGAAUUUGUGCAAGUGAUGAAGGGGGGAUUGUCAGCUUAAAUGGGCUAGUAUCCUGCCUUCUGGCGUGAGACAGGAUUGGGCCGAGCCAUAUUCGAAGUGGCGCAAGGCUGAAUGGGCUCAGUCACAAUCGAGAUCCGUGAAUACUGUAUUUAUACGUUUUAAGUGAAUUGUUAUGUAUUUCUAACAGCUCAACCUUUUAGGGUUAAUGAUUAGCGCCGAGUCACAAUCGAGACCCGUGAACGCUGUAUCUGUAUGUUUUAAAUAAAUUGGUUAUGUAUUUCUAGUAACUCGAAUUUUUAGGAUCAAUGGUUAGCACCAACGAUCCGACAAGAAUUACAUGUGUACUAGACGGACAAAGCCAAGAAGGAUUUCGGCAUAAGAUUUGAGAUUUGACAGAGAGAUAUAGAUUUUACUGAAGACCGUUUCAAACGAACGCCACAGCAAAACCCAAAAAAGAAUGAUUUGAAAUGUAGGACCAUACAAAUAAUUGGAAUUCAAAUGAUUACUGUCGAAUACGGGCGUGAACGCGAGCGAGCUCGGUCUCAUGCCGAACACGAGCUAACCAACGGACAAUAAGUUAAAUGGAUUAGAUUAUAUAUAUACAAAAAAUAAAUUUAUAAAAUCUUACCCAUUAGACUUUGAUCUAAUAGUUAGAAUUUUACAUAUAAAUAAGUCUUUUUAUAAUUGAGCUCGGCUUUAUAUUUUUUCUUUACUAAACAUAAAAUAAUAAAAAUAUAUAUUAUAUAUAAUUAUUUAUUGAGGAAAACUUUAAAUACCAUCUAUGUGGUUUUACACUUUCUUAUUUUAGUGUCAUGUGGUUUAAAGUGUAUCAAUUUAGUACACUGUGGUUUUCUUUUCAUCCUUUUAUUAUCGAUUUCACUAAUUUUUUUUCGUUAAAUUAAUGACAAAGUUAAAACUAAAGGAUGCUAAAGUAAAUAUUCGAUAAAUCUAGGUGAGGUGUCUAAAUUUUUUUUACAUAAUUCAACGAAAUAUUAACGAAAAAGCUGACGAAAAGAUAAAAACGAAACCACAUGUGUCACGCCCCGGAUUACACUUUCCCCGGGCACGCCGACAAAUCCGCCGUAUACAAAGGAAUUUCCCCUAUAUACGAAGCGUUAGCUGUACCUGUAAAUCAAACACUACUACGAACAGUAGUAGAGAGCUGCUAGAGAAAACAGAAGCUAAACAAACUGAGUUUCAUAUACAUAGUCCAAAUCCAAAAUACAAAGCUACUCGCACUGGCGAGUUAAGUCCACUAUGUACAUAAACUCGAAACAAAACAUCUACCUGCAGUAGGGGCACCUCUAGCUCAGCACGUCGGGUAGGGCUCUAACUCGCGACGCCCUUACCUCGAUCCUGAUCCGCGGAAGGCGCAGCAGCCGAAACCUGUGGCUCUGCAAAACGGGGGUAACAACUGGGCGUGAGAACUACUAUAAAAACAAGUAGUCCUCAGUGGGUACCGCCCAAAACAACAUCGGUCCACCCACUAAGUCUACAGGAGGGAGCAAGAAUAGUAGGAAAAGCAGGAAACAAACUCAACCGCUACAAAUCACUAUACUAUCAUGCUCUACACUAACCAACUGUAGGAAAUGUCAAAUCUGACCCAAUCCAAUCGGGACUGUAGACAUACCCGUCCCUGGGACUGUGAACACACCCGUCCCUGCCCCGUUGCGACUAUCGGGCUCUAUCCACACUAACUGGUCCGUGGAGAGCAAGUCCAACUGGCAUGAGCGACACCAACGCAAAAGCACAAGCCUGACUCCGGAGUGGCACUCGUGGGCGCUACCCAACCGAGUAUGCAGCGUAUCUCUGUCGAGCUCAAUCAGGCUCCAACUAGCCAAAGUCAAGUAAUCGACUUAAACUGGUCUAACAACCAACAGGUAACGUGCCCUCGGCACAAUCUGACGCCAAAAAGGCGAUACGGUCCACCGUCAACUCUGACGGCACCCAACAGUCCGAAACGGCCUGAACGACCCUGCAAAAAUUCACUCGGCGAACCAGCACGAGUGUAAAUACAUUCUAAACUACCCAAGGUAUCCAUUGCACUGACUCGGCAACGAUACAAUCGAACACGGCUCCUAGAGCUAAAUCUGGUAGUUUAAGCAUAUGACGGGUCAAAACGCAGGUUUUCUCCUAAGUCAAAUUUCAAGUCCAACAUGUAUAAUUUAAAUAUUCAUUUCAGCAUGCUUCUACAUUCAUAUUACAUUCAAAAUGCUAAUCGAUGAAUUAAAGCAUGAUUUACAACACUCGAACUAUACACGUUGACUAACAUGCACUUAGGAGCGAAACCGAUGAAACACCCACCUCUAAUGCAAUUCCUGGCAGCAAUAGGGUCUCGGAUCCUCAAGCAACACUGCUGGAAACCUCUUCAAACCAGCAACAAAGCCCCUUAAGAUCUGGAUUUACAAUGCACCCAAAAAUCCAAUAAAAAUCAUCAAAAUCCACAAUUCAGUCCAAGUACACAGCAGCAGAGAAGAGAAGGGUUUCGACCAAGCUAACCUUCACCAAAAUCCACAAGUAAGGACUUCGUGGAUUCUUCUCGCAGUCCCGAAACCAACGAAUCAAGUCUCGACGAAAUCCGAUGCUCCUACGUCGAGUACGAGCUGAAAUACUAACAGUCGACGAUGAAUUUCAGCAAAACAGCAUUUAAGCUUAAAUAUCUCAAUUCCAAUGUCAAAACUCACCAAACGAACUCCAAAUCAGGUGGAGAGGGUCCCAAUUCCAGUACUGGGUGAUAGGGAAAAUAACUCAACUCCACAAAGCCCCUGCUUCCCAAGUUCACCCCAAGAAAACAUCAAAAAUUGGCAAAUUCUGUCCAAAGCAACAACAGCAGAGGAAAACCUGAGUUCGACUGAGCUAACCUUCACCAAAUUCUGCAAAUUAGGGCUUCGUGGAUUCCUCUGGAAGUCAAGAAUCCAGCAAACCAAGUUUCGUUGAAAUCCGACCUUCCUACGUCACGCACGAGCCAAAACACUGGAGGUCGUCGCUGAAGAACUGCAAAAUCAGCACCUUGCAAUUCUUGGAGAGGUGGAUCUUGAUGCAAAUUGGAAAGAUUUGAGGGAUUUGGGAGUAAAAUCUAAGUCCUCUGUGAAGAACAGGUAAAAGAGCUCAAAGGGGGCGCUUCUCAGCUAUUUAUAGGCUGCUGGAUAGAUCAGAUAAGCCCCAGGAAAAAUAGCCGCAAUCCAGUGCCCCUGCAGAAACGGGCGUUUCUGGGCGCCCGGAACCAUGUUCUGGGCGACCAGAACAUCCGGCCUGCACAAAAUGGGCCCCUCGGACUCUCCGCCCGCGGUGUGCUGCGCCCGUAAACGGCACCGGCGGAACUCACCUACCGCCCUGCCACGCGUCGAAGCAAGCGAUAUUCACGAGGUGAAAUUUCUGGACCCACUUCUGGGCGCCCGGAACAUAGGAUCCGAAUUGGCUUCCAGUUUCAAUUAAAAUCAACACUCGUUUCUGGGCGACCCUAACAAUGUUCUGGGCGCCCGAAUCUGGCAAAACUUCAGUUUUGCUUAUUUGAGUGCGCCGAGUCCAAUUCUGCAUCCAAUUCGUGCAGAAUUGACUCCGACUCAGUCCGACACUCUCCAGAGAUGUCGACCAGUCUAUAAUACUGAAGCCAAUCCUAUCCAAAGCUCAGGAACACUACAACAUGACACUAACUUAAUACACUUUAAACUACAGGGUACUAAAUUGAGAAAGUGUGAAACCACAGAGGUAGUAUUUGAAGUUUACCCUUAUUUAUUUAUAGGGGCAAUUUCAUAGAUACCCCUUUCAAAGCUUAAAAUAUUAUGUAUGCCCUUCUAAAGAUUAAAAUAUCAUAUAUACCCCUGUAAAUAUCGAAAAUUAACAUCAAUACCCCUACUGUUAGUUGUUCUAACUUUACCAUAGUUAUUAAAUGGUUAAAGAUGGGUUAACUUUUAAUAUNAAAUUAACAUCAAUACCCCUACUGUUAGUUGUUCUAACUUUACCAUAGUUAUUAAAUGGUUAAAGAUGGGUUAACUUUUAAUAUGACCAGUUUACCCUUAGCUCCCUUAAGUAAAAAUGUAUGGAGACCCCCUCAACUAUAUGUCCUUUUAAAACAGCUUCCUCAACUUUUAUAUUUUAGUUGACAUUCCAUUAAUUUUUAGUUUUUAAAAUAUUAACUAAUUUUAGUACAUGAAAAAUGAGAAUUUUGUCAAGUUUUUUUUGAUGAUUUCACUAAAUUUAGUGGCGCUAUUUAUAUUUUUAGCAAAUAAAUAACUAUGUAUAAAAAUUUAAAUAAAAAACAAAGUUGAGGAUUUUUUUCGAUCUUUCUUUAAUCUUGGAAGCUUCCAAAAUAUUUUAACCAAAAUUAUUCACGAUAAUUUUAUCUGUAUUAAAUGCAUUAAAAAACUGAAAUAUAAUAUAUUUUAGCUUUUGAACAAAACUCUCUCUCUUUUUUUUCAAUCGACAAAAAAAAUGCAUGCAUAUAGUUUUGUGAUUUAUUUUUGCUUAAAUAGAAAAAAAAAAUUAAAUCUACCAUUUAUUUCAAAAUUACUAUUACUGAUUAGGAAUGCGAAUUGAUAUAGGUAUAUCUGAACUCAAUUUUGAAUGGAUGAACUUAAUUGAUGCUGAGUAGAGAUAGUUUCAGUUAUAGGUGCAAAAAAAGAAGUCUCAUUAUAUUCUAAUUCAGUUAUGAUUUUGAUCUAUAUCCAAACGGAACUUGAACCGAAAUCCGAAGUCAAAAACAAAACCAAAAUUAUAUAAAAACAUAUUAUAUAUAAAAUACAUUUUUUUAUAUAUUUUUAAUAAAUAAUAUAUAUUAUAAUUUUUUAUAUAUUGGAGGGUAUUUAUGAUAUUAUCAAUUUUAGAAGGGUAUUGAUGAAAUUAAUGGUUUCCAUAAGGGCAUCUAUGAAAUUAUCCCUUAUUUAUAUAUAUAAAUAUAUAAUAUAAAUUAAAUAAAUUAUAUAAAUAUAAAAUAUAUAUAUUUCGAGCUGUUAUCGAGCCGAACACGAGCGAGCUGAUCCUAGCUCGUGUUUGGCUCGUUUAUUAAACGAGCUGAAAAAUUUAGCAUUUGCUCGGCUCGUUUAGUAAACGAACGAUUCGAACUCGAGCUCAUUUCAAACCGAAUAUGAGCUGGCUUGCGAACAGCGAGCUGGAUUACCACCCCUACUAUCGAAGAUAUAUUUCAAAAAUGGGUGCGAUAUUAGAGAAUAUCUCCUACAAUUUUACCUAGAGUCCUCCCACGUGAGAUUCGAACUCAUAACUACUUACAAAUGCACAUCCCAUGCACCCAGAUACCUUAUUCUUAAUGGAAUUUAUCUAUUUAUUUUAGGGAAGGACCAUCAAUGGAAACAUAUGUCACCGCAUGCAAAACAGCCCUUGCUGUUGAGUAGGGGUGGAAACGAGCUGAGCCCGAGCGAGCUUGCCUCAGCUCAAAUUCGGCUUGAAAUUAAUUUCGAGCCUAAAUUUAAGCUCAAGCUCGGCUUGAAAUUAAUUCGAGCCGAGCUCGAGCGAGCCUAAUUUCGAGUCGAGCGAGCUCGAGCCCUAAGCGAGCCGCUUGAAAUUCUCAACAUUGUACGAUUAAUAGUUUAAUUUGUAUAGAACAUUAUUUAUAAUUUGAUACAAAAAUAUAUCUAAUAGUUCAAGAUACAAAAUAAUUAUAUGAAAUACGAUAUUAUAAUAUAAAAAAAAAAUAAUUUACGAGUUGAAUAUCUAAUUUUUUCAGCUUCGCAUGUCUUCUCUUCCGCCUUCAAUUUUCAUAUUAUUCUUUUUCACCUAUGCGGUCAAAAAAUGAAUAAAUUAUAUAGACAAAUAUUAGAUUAAACUAUCUAAUUAUAUAUAACUAAAAUCAAAAUUUUAUAUAAAUAAUAAUUUUCUACCUUAAAAAUAUUCUGUAUAUUUUCUCAAGCACACAAUUAAUGGCAAGGUAGGCAACAGCGGGCGCGUGCUGUUACUUGAUAACUUGGGGGGCUUCAGGUUUGGCCGCUUGAGGAGAGAGAGAGAGAGAGAGAGAGAGAGAGAGAGAGAAGGAAUUUAAGGCUUUGUAAAAGAAAAGGAGGGAGAGAGUGUAAAUUUAGUAAAAUUUUACCUUUUUGUUGGCAUAUUGGGUUUGUUCUUAUGGCCCAGCAAUAUUGGCUCAAUUUUAACUAAACUUAGGUUACUCACUUAGCCUAUAUAUAUAUAUAUAUAUAUUCGAGCUUUUCGAGCCUAAUUCGAGCGAGCCGAGUAAUACUCAAGCUCGGCUUGAAAUGAAUUUCGAGCCUUUUUUUUUGUUCAAGCUCGGCUCAUCUAAUUUCGAGCCGAGCUCGAGCGAGCCGAAUAUCGAGCCGAACGCGAGUCGAACGCGAGCCGGCUCGCUCGUUUGCCAGCCCUACUGUUGAGAACAAGGUAACAAGUUUUUGUCUUAAAACCGACCAUUCCUAGAGCAAGUAGCAAGGGAUUGGUGAUUGGUACCCGAGGUCCCAAGUGCGAAUCCUAGUUGAUUCACAUUUCCAGCUAAGUUUAUUUCUAAAUGAAAUAAACGAAACAAGUAGCGUGCUACCUAUCUCUCAAAAAAAAAAAAAAAAAAGGUUUUUUCUCAAAAAAAAAAGAAAAGAAAUUAAUGAUCAAGGUCACAAGUUACAUAUAUAUAACUCUAUUAGUUUGAAAUAUAAUUUAAUGAGCAUUACUAUCGAUCAUUCCUACUGCAAGUGGCAAAGGAUUUGAUGGUUAAUACCUGAGGUUCAAAGUUUGAAUCCUAAUUGAUUCACAUUUCCAGCUAAGUUUAUUUUUAAAUGAAAUAAACGAAGUGGGUAGCAUGCUGUACCUAUUUCUCAAAAACAAAAUUUAAUGAGCAUUGUUCGAUCUAUGCACCAACAAAAAGUGGUGUAUAUCUUGCACCCCCUUAUUCAAUAAUCAAAAUUGAUCCUUGUCUUGUUAUUUUUUUUUUAAAUACUAAAAAUCUAAUAAUUUUAUAAUCUCUAGAAUAAAGGGAUGCAAGAUGUACACUCUAUUUUAUAGUGUACAAGUAUAAUUUUCUGUUAAAUAUAACAAGAUCAUUAUCUGUCAGUUUAAACUUUUAGAGUAUAACGAUUGUUUCACAUAAUUCAACGUGGUAUCACAGCAGGAGGUCCUGAGUUCGAGUCAAGCCAUGUCCUAGCAAAAUUAAUUUUCUCUUAUUUAAUUCAAAACCAGGUCAUGGACCUAUUAAAAAAUCUCGAGGCCAGAUUUGAAUAUAAAAAUACCAUUUUACCGGCUUAACUUUUUAGAGACAACUGUUUAUCAAAAAAUCUCGAACCCAAACGUGAAAAUAAAACUAUAAUAUUCUACCGACUUUAGUUUUUAGAAACAACUUCUUUAAAAAAAUCUCAAGCCAAGAUAGAGAGAAUGAUAAAUAUAAAAAUACAAUUUUCUGUCCGCUUAAGUUUUUAGAGUUAACCACUGUUCCGUAUAAUUUAAUAUUUUUCUAUUUUAAUAUAUUUCUCUAGCUCUAAAGUGCCUAAAUCAAAGCAAAAAUUAGAAGAGGAGAGAGAGAGAGAGAGAGAGAGAGAGAAAAGUGGAGAGAGAAAAAGGGGUGGAAAUAAGAACAAGCCUAGAUUAUACUUCAAGCUAUCAUUAAUUAAAGGGUAAACUUCAAAUAUCACCCUUGUGGUUUCUCACUUUCUCACUUUAGUAUCAUGUAGUUUAAAGUGUAUCAAGUUAGUGUCUCGUGGUUUUAUUUUUAUCUUUUCGUCAGUUUUUUCGUUAAUAUUGUAUUAAAUUAUAUGCAAAAAAUUUCAGAUAUCCCAUCUAGAUUUAUCGAAUAUUCACUUUAAUACUCUUUGGUUUUAAUUUUAUCACUGAUUUAACGAAAAAAAUUAGUAGAAUCGAUAAUAAAAAGAUAAAAAUAAAAUCACAGUGCAGUAAAUUGAUACACUUUAAACCACAGGGUAAUAAAGUGAGAAAGUGUGAAACUUAAGGGAUAGUAUUUGAAGGUUUUUAUUAAUUAAAUAAACUUCUUAAUAUAUUUUUACUUGGAAAACAUUAUGCACCAAAACUCCAAUCAUGCCAAAUAAGUUCCACAAGUACAAGGAAAGCAAGAAUUAAUUAAUGAAACUGCAAAGCGUGACAAAAAAGUAAUAUUCUCCUUAAAUACAUUAAUUGCAUUAAUUUAUACAUUUGAUGCUACAAAUUGUAGCCUAUAUAAUACGCUUAUUAAUUUAUUCUCUUCCAUAGGAAAACCCACAAAAUUAAGAAAUUAGCAUGGGUAUGAAAAAGGCCUUUUUAGUUAGUUAGGUUAUGUUAGGUCGACACAAAUCAAUGAGUAAAUUGUAUACGUGCAUGGUUGAUGAUAAGCCACAUACGAUUAUAAAUUCCAUGAAAAAAAAAAAAAAAAAAAAGCCCUCAUGUGAUUAUGAAGUUCAUGUUGAGCACAAUUAUUGGUAUGCUCAUUAAUUAUAUUCACAUAGGUGAAAAUAUAGUGAGACCCCCGCAAGUACGGGCGAUCUGAAAUAGCACCCCCAACUUUAAAUUUUUUUUUUGGCUAAAUUACAGAAAAUGCUCAUGCAAAUACCUUUUUUUUUUCAUUAAUUUGUCUUUCCUAACUUUCAAAAAUCUAUAUUUUGCCUCCUUUAAAAUUUAAAAAAUAUUUUCAAGGCCGGAGAGGGGGUUACAACGUUAAUGGAGAGGGUAAAAUGACCAAAAUUACUCUUAUUUUUUAUAUAAAAAAUAAUUUUUUAAUACAUUUAUGUCAUUUUUGAAGGACAUUUUUUGUAUAAAUUAUAAGAGGUGGACGGAAUAGUCAUGGAACCCUGACGAAGACGGCUAAAUGCAACAACUUGAAAUAUUAAUGGGGUAAAAUAUAAAUUUUUGAAAGUUAGAAAGGAAAAGUAAAAAAAUGAGUAUUUAUAAGGGGUUUUCUGUAAUUUAGCCUUAUUUUUAUUGACUAAUUUAACUUCUAAUUUUUUUGAAUUAUAUUCUUGUAGUUAACUAUGUUAGAAAAUUAAUAUUGUUGACUUUCAUGGCUCAAGUAGUCAUUAGUAGUUAAUUAAUCUAAUUUUAUUCACUAUAAAAUAGUUUAAAUAGAAUUAUUAAUUAAUUUGGCAAAAUUCUUAAACUUUUUGGCUAAAAUCGAUUAAUUCUAAAAAAAAUAAAGUUAAGAGGGUUUCAAGGAAAAAAAAACUGAAAAGUGAGGUUCCUUUUUAGAAUAGCAAAUAGUUAGAGGGUCUUCAUACAUUUUACCUACUCACAUAAAUAGAGAAUUGAUAUGGCAAAUGCAAUAAAUAUUAUUGUUACAACACAUGUAUUGUAUGUGAUCAUAUUUUGAAUCUUGUUGUUCUUGCAAUAGUAUACAUUGCUUUAGCAAUAAUAGUGUGUCACAGGAGUUUUCUUAUAUGUCAAUUUUAGUGAUCGAGCAUCUGAAUCGAUAAUUGGUAUUAUUAAACAUAAUCAAUUUAGUAUACUAAAAACUAAAUUUUAUAAUUUUGGCACAUCUAAUAUUCAAUUAUAUAUAGUUCAAAAAAAUUAACAAUUUUCGAAGACUAAUGUAAGAUGAAUUCAACGUCACUUGAUCACUAGGCAUAAAAUAACGUAAAAUCAUAAAAUUUGAAAUAGCUUAGAUCAUAUGUAACGAUAUCGAUCGUCGAUUCUAAUGCCUCAUCUUCAAAAUCAAUGCGGAAACAAACUCCUUGGUUUACCUCUAGAAGCAUUGUAGCCUAAUUCAGAUAAGAUACACAUGUACUUCAAAACUGCAUGAUUAGUUCAUGAUUGAGUGAUGAGUUGUAAAUUUGUAGAGGAAUAUGUGUUCUCUAGAUAGGAUUUUAUUUAUUUUUUUCUUUUUGAGAGAUGUGUUCUGUUGGAUCUAAUCAUCAAUACCUAUUUUUAUACAUUAGGCCCCCAUUAAUGAGCUCUUGAUGUGGAAAAUGACCCUGCUACAUAAGCCUUUAUCUCAUCAACACAUGACACCUGUAUAAUUUAUGAUUAAUUUGCAUUUGGUAAUGGACAAAUGAUUCAGAUCCUCUAUAGCUGCAUAUGUUCAAUGAUCAAUUGGAGAAUUUUUGUGUUAGUCAUCAAUAAGUAAUUGAUGGAAGAUAUAUCCGAUUCUGGAGGAGCUUCUAUUUUCUAUUUCUGGUGUAUUGUCAUAACUUAUACGCUAUUGAAGUAUCUGCCAUUCAUACCAUCUAUAGUGGGAAAGGCGAAGGAGAUGAGGAUCUUUUGGUUUGGUACGUAAACAAAACGUCGAUCUAAAAUUAUAGUGUAUGAGUCAAUCAUGUUCUAAGAGUGUUUACACAAUGUGUAUUGCGACAUAUCGUAUUGUAGCGAUAACUAGUUAUCACAUAGGCACAAUACAACUUGUAAAAUCAUGUAAGGGCCUAUUCGGCCUAAAUUUAAAAUUUGAACUAGAAUUUAAAUUUUGAUAUUUGAAAUGACAAACCAAAUUUCAAAUUAAAAAAUUUAGAAUUUUAAUGUUUAAAAAAUAAUACUUGAAUUUUAAAUUUGGAAGUUAAAAUUUAAAUUUUAAGCUUUAAAAUCUAAAUUAAAAUUUUAAACUAAAAUCGAAAAGUUAUCUAAAGUUUAAAAUCUAAAUUUAAAAUUUACAAUUCCAUAUUUAAAUUGAAAAUUCAAAUUUUAAAUUUUAAAAUUUUGAAUUUUAAAAAUUUAAAAGUUUAAAUUUAAAAUCUAAAUUUAAAAUUUGAAAUUUAAAAUAUAAAAUUUAAAAUUUAAAAUUUAAAAUUCAAAAGUAAAACUUUAAAAUGUAAAGUACCAAAUUUAGAAUUUUAAAAUUUUUUGAAAAAUAUUUGAAUUUUAAAUUAAAAUUAAAAUUAAAAAGUUAUCUAAAGUUUAAAAUCUAAAUUUAAAAUUCAAAAUUCCAAGUUUAAAUGAAAAUUGAAAUUUUAAAAUUUAAAUUUGAAUUUUAAAAUUUAAAGUUAAAAUUUAAAAUAUAUUUUGAAAUUUGAAAUAUAAAUUUAAAAAUAUAAAUAUAAAAUUCAAAGUAAACUUUAAAAAUAAAGUACAAAAUUAUCAUUUAAAAUUUAAAAUUUCAUAUUUAAAUCUAAAUUUGAGCAUUAAAAUUCAAAUUUUAAAUUUUAAAUUUUAAAACUUAAAAUUAAAUUUAAAAUCUAACAUAAAUUCAAAAGUUGAAUAAAAAAUUAAAAUUUAAACUCAAAAUUUUAGUCUAAAAUCAAAAUCAUAUUUCAAUAAGUAGAUCUUAACUACUUUUGAUUUUAGGUCUCUAAAAUUAGAGAAUCGAUUAUAAAAAUCAGAAUCAAAAUUUGAAAGAUAAAUUGUCAAAAGCUCUAUUGAGUAAAAAAUCACUUUUCAUACUAAAAUCACUUUUCAGAACUUAGGCCAAACACUCUCUAAUUUUGUAGUUACUGAAUUACCGUCCUAGAGAUUUGGAUUACGAUCCUCAUUUGUGUUUAUGUAAAUAGAGAUUCGUGUCCCAGCUUCUUGAAUAUAAAUAUAUAGGAUAAAUUUGUGGUUGUUUUCUUCUUGAGACCCUGUCUGCCUCACUCUAUAUAGCUAAAUUUAUUUACUUAAUAAAUGAACCAGAUAACGUGCUACUUUUCUCUCAAAAAAAUUAAUUGUGAUUGUUUGGAAUAAGAACCGACUCAUUCGCAAACUUGGAACACACACAAAAAAAAAGUCAAAAAUUGCUUUAUGCUUCAAUCAACUAGGAUAAAUUAAACGUUUGGUCCUCAAACUAUAAGGUGUGUGACACUUUGGUGUUUAAACAUUAAUAUAUAAUAAUUUUUGGCUCAGACUUUCAGAAUUAUUAUAAUCAAGUCUUAUAAUCCAAUUUAGGGGACGAAUUAUUGAUGUAUAGCCAAUGUAAAAGUCAUGUAGUACAGUUUAAGAUGUCUCAUCAUUUUUAUAUAAACAAUACAUCAAUAUUUAGUCAACUAAAUUUGAUUUAUAAAAUUUGAUUACAAUAAUUCUAAAAAUUCAAAUCAAAAAUUAUUAUAUAUUAAAGUUUGAGGACUAGAAUGUCACCUGCCUCAUAAUUUGAGGACCAAAAGUGUAAUUUACUCCUCAAGUAACAAAUUCAUUCUUUGUUCAUCAUUUUUUUAAAAAAAAUUAAAGAUUACAAAAAAUAAUGAUGCUGAUAUUGUAUUAAAUUUGCAAUUAUUAUAAUAUAAACAAGGUGAUAAAUGGUUGAAAAUAAUUGAAAUUGGGCAUUUAAUAUUUAUUUUAUUCGGAGAAUAAAAACAAAGUUAGAAAAAGAUAUUUUUGUCCACUUUAAAAUGAAAAACCGCGUAACAAAUGGGUCCCACCAAGUUGGAUUGUCCGAUCCAACCAUUGAUAACGUGAACUCUACAUUUUCUUUUUUUUUAAAAAAAAAUUGAGAUUUUCUUAAUUACUAAUUAUUCUAGUUUUAUUUAAUAAUAAGUAAUUAAUUUUUUUUCCCGUAUUUAAAGAACUAAAAUUGUUCAGUUUAGACAAAAUUAGAAGUUUUGAAAUAACAAAUAUAAAAAAAUAAAUAAGUUUGGAGUAAAUUUUAGAAUGGCUUAUAGUCAAGGGUGUAACCGGUUCGGUGUGGUUCGGUUUAUCUUUAUUUUUUAAAUUGAACUAAAUUUUUCAGUUUGGUUAAAUAUCAAACCGAACCAAAUUGAUCUAGCUUCUGAACCGAACCAAAACCGCGAUUCGAGCUACUCAUUUGGUUUCGUUUGGUUCCAAUAUUUGGUUUCAUCUUAUACCUAGAAAAAAAAAAUUAUUUACAAGUUUUCCAUGCUAAAUGGAUUAAUUUACAAGCAUUUUGAAACAAAAAUAAAAUAAAGAUACAAAAAAUUAAAAAACACUCAUCUCAAAUUAUUAUUUAAUAUACACUAAUAUAUAUAUAUAUAUAUAUAGAGAGAGAGAGAGAGAGAGAGAGAGAGAGAGAGAGAGAGAGAGCUAGCCUACUAUACUAUCGGUAGCACGGAGUGCUCCGUGCUACCAAGUUGUUUUCGAUGAUGUGGCUUCCAAAUCGACGAUCGGCUCCGUUAGACUUGAUCUACACUAUUGAAAGUAUUUAGAAACUAAAUUUUAUAAUUUUUCGAUAUCAUUUACCUAUCAAAUAAGUAGUCUAAAAUUGAACGGCUGAAAAUAAAAAUCUCAUAAAAAAUGAUGAUAAAAGAUUUAAAUUCAAAAUCAGAUAUACUGAUCUUACUCUAAAUAGUGAAAAGAAUUUUCUAUAAAAUUUUCAUCGCAUUUGGAUUGUUUUACACCGUUAAACUCACAAACACACCACAUCGGCC